ACAUGGGCUGGGCCAGAUUCCAACUUAAAAGUAAUGAAAAAACUGCCCCAUCACCCAACGCACUCACCACCUAAUAAUAAUAAUCAUUACAACAACACGUUACACUUACAACAACAUCCUUUACAUACAAAAAGGGAAAUAGUUAAAACAAGAUAAUGAUCGAAUUUCAAAUUAAAAAUAAAAACCCACAAAGUUGGUUUGGUUUAAUGGUUUUGGCAUCAACUAUCACAAACCGUUGGAUCAUAUCAACUUGACUUGAAAGGAAUGGCUCUGAUAACAACUGUGUGGUAAAGUGCUGCAAGUGCUGCACCAAUGAAUGGUCCAACCCAGAAAAUCCACUGCACAUAAAAAAAAGUAAACAAGAUUAAACAUAAAUUUCAAGAUUAACUAAUUAAUUAAAUUAAAUUAAAUUAAAUUAACACAUACUUGAUCAUCCCAACCAAGAUCUUUGUUGAAGAUAAUUGCAGCACCAAGACUCCUAGCAGGGUUGAUACCAGUUCCAGUAAUUGGAAUAGUAGCCAAGUGAACCAAAAACACAGCGAACCCAAUUGGCAAAGGUGCCAAAAUCUGUUAAUUCAUUUCAUCAACACACCAUUAAGAAACAUUAAACUAAAAUUAACACAUGUAAUUAAUUCAAUGAGACACAGGUACAAGGCAAAGCACAUACAGGAACGUGAGAGUCUCUGGCACUACGUUUGGCAUCAGUGGCUGAGAAAACGGUGUAGACAAGAACAAAGGUACCGAUAAUCUCAGCACCGAGUCCAUCUCCUUUUGUGUAACCAGGAGCAACAAAGUUAGCACCACCGUGAACUUUUCCGUAGAAGGCUUUUCCUUCGAAACCCUUAACCACACCAGCACCGCAGAUAGCACCAAGAACCUGCAUCACGAUGUAGAACACUGCUCUUGUUAGAGACAGCUUCCUCGCCAAGAACAAACCGAAUGUCACUGCUGGGUUUAUGUGACCCCCUGCAUCCACAACAUCACAAAUUAAUACCAUAAAAAACAUAACAACUAUGUAAGAUCCAGUACUACAGGACAAAAUCAGGAAAAACAAACUGAAGAGAGUGUAUACCAGAGAUUCCGGCAGUGCAGUAAACGAGGGCGAAGAUCAUGCCACCAAAAGACCAAGCAAUCCCUUGAAUACCAACAGUUUUACACUUGGAAUCAGAUUUGUUGACACCCAUGAUAGUCAAGAUGGUGAUGUAGAGAAACAGAAAAGUUGCAACGAACUCGGCUAUUCCAGCUCUCCAGAAAGACCAUGAAGUGAGUUCAGAAGGCUCAAACAACGGUGCAGGAGGUGGUUCUUUGUAGUCCUUACCGUCGUCAUGGCUCUGAGCUGCAAUACCGAUGGGUUGUCUCUCUGGGAAUUUGUUGGCUCCCAGUGAAACAUCUUGUUCCUUUGCUUCCAUUUCUCACUCUCUUGUUGAUGAAUGAAUAAUUGCUAUGAAUGAAUUGGAAGUGGUUGUUGUUGUGGUUGUGAUAGGGUUAUUAAGAUGUGAUUUAUAAACAGAGUGAAUUAUAAUGAAGGACAAAAAAGAAGUGGGUCAUGGGUGGUGGGUGGUGGGUCCAUUUCAUAUGUAAAAAAUUUGAAUAUUAUAGAAUUUGAUUUUCUUAUCUUUUUUGCCGUCCAAUCAUAUUCAUGACAGCAACAUAGAGUGGUAUAUCCAAGCUGGAGUGGUUUCUAACCAUGCAAUAAUUGGGCCCCACCAUGUUCUAUGCAGCACGAGAAAAAUCAAAAUAAUUGAAAGUGGAAAAUACGGGGUGAAGGUGAAGUAUUGAAAGAGGAGUAAAAAUUCAAAAUAAUCGAGUGAGUUCUGUCGACAUGGACAUCAUGUCAUGGUUGGUCCCAUUUCAGCAGCGAGACUGAGGAGUGGGAAACUCCAUUACCCUCUGGGCGGUCAUAAUUGUCGUCAGAAUAAUAUAAUGUACCGAAAGUAUCACGUUUUAUUACUCGAGAGUACUAUGUGUUCUGUUCAAGUAGAACCAAGCCGCAACGACUCUUAUGCCAUCAAUGCUGUGUCAAUCUCACUAUUAAAAUUUUGGGAAGUAUUAAUGCAUCAUUAAAAUAUCAACUAAAUUAUCUAAGUUUAGUUAAUGUCUCCAAUAUUUAAAACUACUAUCAAUUUUUAUAACUAAUCUAUAACUAUAUACAAUUUUAAUAACGUCUCCAAUAUUAUUAAAAUUAAUUUUCUAAUCAGAUUCACUUUUUUUUUCAAUUUUAAUUACUAAUAUAUAUAUAUAUAUAUAUAUAUAAAUAUAUAUAAUAUAUAUAUAUAUAUAUAAUAAUAAUAUAUAUAUAUAAUAAUAUAUAAAUAAAAUAUAAAUAAUUAUUGAAAUUAAUUGUUAUAGUUGAUAUUUAUAAAUAGAGUUAAAUAUGUUUUAGGUCCUCUUAAUAGCUCAUAUGUUAUUUUUAGUUUUAAAAAAAAAAAUCAUUAAUGAAUGAUCCUCUUAAAAUUCUUGAUUCACAUUUUUGGUUCCUCUUGCAAGUUAUUGAUGGAAUUUUCAACUUAACGACCGAAUUAUCGACGUUUUUAGCGAUUGAAUUAGCGACAGUUUUAGGCAGAGGGACCAAAAGUGGAUGAAAAUUUUUAUGAUGAGCAUUCUUUGAAAUAAAUUUUUUGAGGGACUAAAAGUAAAAUACGAGAUAUUUAGGAGGACCACAAACAUAUUUAACUCUUAUAAAUAUAGUGUUAAGAAUAUUUGUAUAUAGAAUAGUCUCACAUCAACUAUAUCAUGUAAUUAGUUGUAAUCUCUCUAUAUAUAUAAUAUAGGUUUUGUAUUGUUUUUCAAAACACAAUUUAUUCAAAUGUAUCUUAGUCUUUUGUACUUCAACAUGGUAUCUAGAGCCUACUCUGAGACAAUAUUUCACCGUGCUUUAUUUGGUUGACGCAUUGUCUUCCGGUGAGAAAUUGUUGGAAAAUUGUGUCAUAUCUCCAGGUUUUUCUUCCAUACACUACCGUGACUCAUUCCGACAUCAGUUUCCAAAAAUCUCCGGUCAUGAUCGUAUUGUCACCGUUGUUUGUCGCUGCAGCUACAGUUCUCGGUGACCUUUUGGAAAACUAACCUUAUCGGCAGAAAUGCCUCUUCCGAUCCGGUUGUUCCCCACUAUUUUAGUGGCAUAAACCUCCAUAUGCGCCCAUGCAUGCCACCUUCAUCCCCGCGUGUGGGUCUCACGUGAUAUUUUCUCUCUAUUCAUAUACGCAUGGCUACUUCUUAGAACUUUACGCCAAACUACGAUGUUCCUUAAGUGGUAGCAGAAUUAUCAAAACUCAUAUUCUACUGCUUCGGUAGCACACACUAGUAACUCAUUUGUUUGCCUAUCUCAAUCAUCUUUUCUUAGACCUUGUGUCCUUGAUUCUGGUGUGUUUGAUCAUGUUACCGGUAAUACAAAUAUUUUAUCUUCCUUCUCUACCUCUGAUUUCUUACCUACUAUAACUUUUGCCAAUAAUUCUCAAACUCAAUUUGAACGGAUUGGUACUGUUAAAAGACUACCUUCUCUCUCGGUUACUUUUUUUCUUUAUGUACCUAAUUGCCCAUUUAAUCUACUUUUAAUCAGUAGCUUAACUCGUUCUCUUGAUUGUAGUUUCACAUUCACUAACAAUAAUGUUACCCUACAAGAUUGGAGUUCGGGACUAACGAUUAGCGUCAGAUGUGAGUCUCAAGGCCUUUAUUACCUCUCUGUGUCAUCUCAGACAUGCUCAACCAAAGAUUCUUCACUCAUUAUCCAUGCUCAGUUAGGCCAUCUCAGUCUUUCCAAACUACAUAAGUUGGUGUCAAAUUUAUCGAAGGUAUCUAAUUUACAUUGUGACUCGUGUUAGUUAGGGAAACACAUUCGUAGUCAAUUUUCAAAUUGAGACAAUAAAUGAGUUUUGUCCCCUUUUUCUUAAGUUCACACUGAUGUUUAGGGACCCUCGCAUAUUGUAUCUACUCUUGAGUCUAGGUAUUUUAUCACCUUUAUUGAUCAUUUUCACGUUGCACGUGGUUAUUUUUAAUGAAGAAUAUAUCUGAACUAUUUUCUAUUUUUGAACAAUUUUAUCGAGAAAUAAGAACUCAAUUCGGUGUGUUUAUCCGUACUUUAAGAAGUGACAAUGCCAAUGUGCUUUUCUUGGUUAUCAUUGAUCCAAAAAAGGUUAUUGUUGUUAUUCAUAUACUUUACAACGAUACUUCAUAUCAGACGAUGUUACCUUCUUCGAGUAUGUUCCAUAUUUUGAGUUUAGCCACGUAACUCCGAAACCCCUUCAUGAAAGUACUCUUACACCUUUUUUGGCAGUUAUUAAUGUUUUGUCUACCAUUUCUCGACCCCCUUACACAUACACACACUUCUCGACCACUUCAAACAUAUCAAAGUCAUCACCCAAUGUUUGUCGUUCCUGUCCCUGAGGUCAUACCUAUCCAUAAGGUCAUAUGUGUCCUUGAGGUCAUUGCAAACUCUCCUCCGACACCCCUGACAUCACCGGAUCUGAUCUUGUAACCUGAGUUCGAUCUUCCAAUUCCCCUUCGAAGAGGUGUAUGUCAAACAUGAAAUCCUUAUCCAUAUUAUAUUGAUUUAUGUUAUCGUCGUCUUUCCCUUUUGCAUUAUACUUACUUGUCUUCUUUGUCUUCUGUUUCUAUUCCUAAAACUCCAAGUGAAGCGUUAUCUCACCCUAAGUGGAGGCAAGCAGUGAUUGAUAAGAUGUGUGCUCUUCAAAGUAGUGGUAUCUGGGAAUUGGUUCUUCUUCCCCCUAGGAAAUCUUUGGUAGGUUGUCACUAGCUUUAUACAAUGAAGGUUGGUUCAGAUGGUAAGAUUGAUCGAUUAAAAGCUUGCUUAGUAGCCAAUGGAUACGCUCAGAUUUUUGGGUUGGAUAUAGGGGUACUUUCUCGCCUGUGGCCGAGAUGGCAUCAAUUAUACUUCUUCUCGCCAUUGCAGCCAUUCAACAUUGGCCUUUUCACCAACUUGACAUCAAAAUUUUAUUUUUACAUGGUGAUCUUUAAGAGGAAGUAUAUAUGGAGCAAACACAUGGGUUUUUUGCUCAGGGGGAGUCAUCGAGUACGGUUUGUAGGCUACACGGGUCUCUUUAUGGUAUUAAUCAAUCUCCUAGAGCUUGGUUUGGCAGAUUCAACACUGUAGUAUAACAAUUGGGUAUGGUCCAUAGUGAAGUUGGACAUUCUGUGUUUUAUCGACACUCAACCCAAGGGUGUAUUUAUCUUAUUGUGUAUGUAGAUGAUAUUGUUAUAACUGGUAGUUAUCAUCAGGGAAUACUUCUGUUGAAACAAUAUCUCUCUAAUCAAUUUCAAACAAAAGACCUAGGUAAACUCCAUUAUUUUUGGGUAUUGAGGUAGCUCAAUAAAGAUGGUUUAGUGAUUUCUUAGCGGAAAUAUGCUAUGGAUAUUUUGGAAGAAACAUUUUUGUUGAGCGCUAAACCAAUUGAUACUCAUAUGGAUCCAAGUAUUAAACUCAUAUCCAAUCAGGGGGAGCCUCUACCUGACUCAAGAAGGUAUAGGAGGUUGGUUGGAAAAUUGAAUUAUCUCACAGUCACUCGUCCGAACAUUUCUUUUGAAGUUAGUGGUAAGCCAGUUCUUAAAUUCUCCUUGCCAAGAACACAUGGAUGUUGUUGUCCGAAGUCUGAGAUAAAUCAAAUUUGCUCCAGGAAAAGGCCUCGUGUAUCAUGAUAAAGGACAUACUCAGAUAGUUGGAUACUCCGAUGCUGAUUGGGCAGGGUCACCCAUUGAUAGACGGUCCACCUCUGGGUAUUGUGUACUUGUUGAAGGAAACCUUAUAUCUUGGAAAAGUAAGAAACAAAAUAUAGUUGCAAGAUCAAACGUCGAGGAAGAGAUUAGGGUCAUGGCAAUGGCAACAUAUGAACUCAUUUGGUUAAAAUAGUUGCUCAAAGAACUUCAAAUUGAAGAAGAAAGACCAAUGACACUUGUUUGUGAUAAUCAAGUUGCAUUACACAUUGCUUCAAAUCCAAUCUCCCAUGAGAGGACCAAACAUAUUGGGAUAUAUUGUCAUUUUGUCAGAGAGAAGAUUGAAUCAGGCGACAUCGUCACAAGCUUUGUCAACUCUAAUGAUCAAUUGGCAGAUGUGUUUACAAAAUCCUUGUGAAGUCCCAAAACUAAUUAUAUAGGUGACAAACUUGGUGCAUUUGACUUAUAUGCUGAAGCUUGAGGCAGAGUGUUGACAUUUAUAAAUAUAGUGUUAAAAAUAUUUGUAUACAAAAUAGUCUCACAUCGACUAUAUUAUGUAAUUAAUUGUAAUCUCUAUAUAUAUAAUAUAGUCUCUAUAGUACUUUUUAAAACACACAGUUAACUCAAAUAUCUAAUAUAGUCUCUUGUACUUCAAUAGUUAUAAUCAAAUUUCAUUUUUUUUAAAAACUGUUAUAAAUUAAUUAUUAAUCAAUUAUAUUCAUAACCGGUUCUAUAAUUAGUUUUAAUUUAAAAUAAAAAUAUAUUUUUUUUAAUUUUUAAAAUUUUAUUAUUAUUGUUUUCAAAAACAAAAAAUCCUUUUAAUUAAAAAAUAUUUUUUUCGGAUUAAAAAAAAUAUUUGUUUUUUAUGUUUUUUAAAAAAUAACUUUUUUUGUUUAUUUUUUCUUAAGAAAAUCAUGUUUUUUGUUUGUUUAGUUUCAGAAAGAUAUUUCCAAAAAAAUAUAUAUAAUUUUUUUUAUCUUCAAAUUUUUUAUUAUUUUCAAAAAAAAAAUCUAAAAAAGUUUUUAUAAGGAUAUUUUUUUGUGAUUUUUAAAAAAUAGAGUAAUUUGAUUUUUAUUUUGGAUAUAGAUGUCGAAAAUAUGAGUUUGGAUAAAAUCAUAUUAAUAACAUAUCUAAAAUACGAAUUUCAUUAAAAUCAAAUUAAUAAUUAAUUGGUUUUUAAUUAAAAAAAAAUAGAUAUGGAUAUGAAUAAUUCAAAUAAACGAUUAAUUUGAUCAACCCUAAUUUUAGUAAUUAUAUAAAGAUUUUUAACACCCACAAUCCAUACCUUUCAAUUGAGAUGACAUUGUCACAUUGUUUUUACAAACCAAAACACAAAUUAAAACAAAUUUCUCUCUCAUAAGUCAGACUUCAUUGCAAGGAGGAAAAAAAUAUUUUACUCUCAGUGCAAAAUGUGUGCACGUCUCUAUUGUUCUAAUGUUUUUUUUUUCAAAAUCUUUGUUGUUUCAAAAAAACUCAUUUCUAGUUUAACAUCUUUGUUCUUCUAAUGUGUGUGUUUUAAAGUUUUUGUUGUUUCACAUUUUUUCAUGAAUUGUUUAAUAUAUGUUUAGUUCUAAUUUGUUUGUUUCAAUAUCAAAGUUAUUUAACAGUUUUUUCUCUUAGUGCAGAAUGUAUGCACAUCUAUGUUGUUCUAAUGUGUUUGUUUCGAAAUCUUUGUUGCUUAAAAAAAAUCAUUUAUGAUUUAUCAUUUUGUUCUUUUAAUAUGUGUGUUUUAAAAUAUCUGUUGCUUCACAUUUUUUUCAUGAAUAGUUUAAUAUAUAUGUUGUUCUAAUUUAUUUGUUUCAAUAUCAUAGUUGUUUAACAAUUUUUUUUCUGAGUGUAAAAUGUAUAUGCACACUAUGUUCUUCUAAUGUGUGUUUCAAAAUCUUUUUUGCUUCACAUUUUUCAUGAAUAGUUUAACAUCUGUGUUAUUCUAAUUUGUUUGUUUCAAUAUCAUAGUUGUUUAACAGUUUAAUCUCAUGUUUAAGGUUUAAGAUUUUAACCUUUGCGAUAGAACCAAUCCUUCCACUAUAAAUUUUCAAUCGAAAGUUCUUAAAAAUGUUUGUCAUAAUUCAAAACAGUUUUCGUUAUAAUGGAUGUUUCAUUAUUACUAAAAUAUGUGUUUUUGAUAUCAUUUGUGUGCCUUAACAACUUUUAAUAUAGGUUUUUUUUUCUUCGGAAGUAAGAUGUGUGCAGAGUUUUUUUUUCCGAUUGAUAAUUUUUUUGGAUGAUAGUGAUGUAUUUUUCUUAUAUAACAUGUGUUACUUAACAACUUCUAAUAUAGAUUUUUUUAUAUUAAAUGUAUGCUAAUAAAUUUUAUGUUAUUAGCUUUAUGAUUAAUGGUUCAUUUAGAGUAAGAUGUGUGAACAUGUGUGCUCCUGAUAUAAUAUUUUUGAUAUAAAUUAUUUUUUCAAAUUUUUUUUAAUAUCAUGCUUUCUGAUCAAGAUGAAAUCAAAUAUUAUUUAUGUUGCAUGCUUCUCUUGGGUAUCGGAAUAACAUGAAAUAAUAAUAACACAGCUAAAAUUUGAGUGAAAAGUAUAGGAAUGAGAAGAAACACAAUUAAUUCUAACUCUUGGAUGAUUAUAAACUACAAUAUAAUGUCUCUAUUUAUAAGAGUCUUAUGUACUAUAAUAAAUGAAUACAUAUUUAGUGAAUUUUACGUAAUCUUCUCUUCAUCAUAGAAACCAAUGAUUUCUGUUGCAUUGACUUUUUCCUUUCUACAAAACAUAGAUGACUUUAUGUCCUCAAAAUCUCCCACUUAAAGUCAUUUUGUUUGCUUUCAAAAUUUCUCUCUCUUGCUAAUUCCAUGUUGCUACGUUUUAGAUAGGCCAUAAGAAGACUUGCACCAAUAAAACUUGUCAGUGUUGAUCGGCUUUGCCAUAGCAUCAGCUAGGUUGUCUUUAGUGUGAAUCUUUUGCGUGUCCACACUCCCUUCCUCUACUACUUCAUGAACAAAAUGGUAUUGAACUCAUAUGUGCUUUGUCUUGGAAUGAAAAGUUGGAUUUCUUGCAAUGUGCAAGACACUUUGACUGUCACAAUACACAAUAAUUUUUGGUUAUUUAUGUUUGAGCUCUUCCAAUAACCUUUGCAUCCAUAUAGCUUCCUUGCAUGCUUUGGUAGCUGCAAUAUAUUCAGCUUCUGUAGUAGAUAGAGCUACAAUAGUCUGUAAUUUGGAUAACCGGCUUACAACUCCUCCCGCAAUUGUAAACACAUAGCCAGUAGUAGAUUUUAUUUUGUCAAGAUCACCUGCAUAAUUUGAAUCAACAUAUCCUUUGGCACCAAACUCCAAUCCUCCAAAACAUAAUGCAACAUUCGGGGUUCCUUUUAUAUAUCUCUGGAUUUUUUUAACAGCAUCCCAAUGCUUUUUACUAGGAUCCGCCAUAAAUCGACUGACCGCUCCCACUUCUUGUGCAAUGUCUGGCUUUGUACAUAUCAUGGCAUAUAUAAGGCUUCCCACCGUUGAUGCAUAGGGUACUCGAGACAUUUCCAUCCUCUCUGCUUCAUUGCUAGGAUUUAUACUUGAGGAUAAUUUAUAAUUGAUAGGGAGUGGGGUAAAUAUUGGCUUACAGUCUUGCAUGUUGAAGCCCCGUAAAACUUUUCGUAGAUAAUUUCUUUGAGAAAGCCAAAUCUUUCUAUCUUUUCUAUCUCGGUGAAUUUGCAUCCCUAAAAUCUUGUUUGUUGCCCCCAAGUCUUUCAUAUCAAACUCCCUAGCCAAGUAUGCCUUAAAUUCUUGGACUUGAUAUUUAUUGGGGCCAACAACCAACAUGUCAUCCACAUACAACAACAAAAAUGGUGAAAACAUUUUCCUCAAACCUCUUGUAAUAUGUACAAUAAUCUGAGCUCAACAUGUUAUAUCCAAGGCUAAUAAUGAAGGAAUCAAAUCUCUUGUACCAAUACCUUGGCGCAUGCUUUAUACCGUAUAGAGAUUUGGUCAACCUGCAAACCAAGUUUUAUUUUCCUUUUUCUUCAAAACCUUCUAGUUGGAGCAUAUAUAUUUCUUUUUCAAGUUCUCUAUGAAGAAAAGCAGUCUUUACAUCCAAUUGUUCAAGAUGUAAAUCAUAAGUAACACACAUAACUAACACUACUCUAAUAAUGGUAAGUCUAACCACCAGAGAAAAUAUUUCAUUGAAGUAAAUUCCUUCCUUUUGUGCAUAUCCUUUAACCACCAGUCUUGCACGAUAUCUUUCCACUUGGUCAUUAACAUCACGUUUAAUCUUAUAGACCCAUUUCUUGCCGCUGGCUUUCCGACCCUCUAGAAGUACAACAAGAUCCCAUGUCUUAUUUUUAUGUAAGGCUUCCAUUUCUUCUUGCAUUGCUGCCAUCCACAAAGAAUCAUUUGAGGAACUCGUAGCCUCUUGAAAGGUUGAUGGUUCUCUAUCUCUUGUUAGAAGACAAUAUGCAUCAUGGCUUGCCAUAACAUAGUCUUAUUGCCAAUUUAGUUUCCCUUUUUGAUGUGUUAAUCGUCGAAAUUCAACACCAUAGGGUUCUUAUGGUUCUUGUACCUCGUGCUCUGGUUCCGCUUCAAAAGAAUCAUCUUCUACAGACUUUCCAUCUAUAUGAACAAUAUUGAUAUCUUUAGCAGUGCUGUCAUUUUCCUGCUCCCUUUGAAGUUCAUUCUCUGCAAAGAUUACAUCCCUGGUGACAAUAACCUUGCGGGAAGUGGGAUCCCACAAGCGAUACCCCUUGUCACUGUUAGCAUAGCCCAAGAAUAUGCAUUUCCUGGAUUUUGGAUCCAGCUUAGUUCUUUCUUGGGAGUUAUACAUCACAUACACAUGACAUCCAACCACAUGUAGAAUAUAAUAAUCAGUUAGCUUUCCUUUCCACAUCUCAAUCAGAGUCUUUAAACCAAUUGGACUUGAUGGUGAUCUAUUUAUCACGCAACAAGCAGUUUUCACGACUUCUACCCAGAACGACUUGGCUAAUCCUAUAGUUCACAACAUAGCUCUAGUACUUUCUAGGAGAGUCCUUUUCACCCGCUCUGCUACACCAUUCUACUAAGGUGUAUGGGCAAAUGUAAAUUGUCUCACUAUACCCUCUUCCUUGCAGAACGCCAAAAACUCAUUGUCUGUAUAUUCUCCUCCAUUGUCGGUCUUCAAGAACUUAAUUUUCUUUCCAACUUCAAGCUUAAUUAGUGCUUUGAAAUGCUUAAAUAUUGAAAACACAUAUGACUUCUUCUUGAUUAGGUAUACCCAUAAUCUUCUGGAGUAAUCAUCAAUGAAUGAUCUAAAAUAUUUUGCUCCUCCCGGUGACAUUUGCGGUGACUCCCACACAUCAGAAUGAAUCAAGUCAAGUAUGUGUUUCCUCUUCGUGGUUGAUCUAUCAAACAUCAACCUAUGUUGUUUGCUUAUCACACAGUGCUCACAAAAAGGUAAACUUACCUAUUUGAGCCUGGGUAAGAAAUCACAUUCCACAAGAACAUUUAAGCCUCGUUCUGACAUAUGGCCCAUUAUGCGAUGCCACGUUGUUGUUGAGUUUUCUUGACUAGUUGAUGCAACUGACACAUCACCCUAUUAUAAUGUCUCUCCCAUAAGAAUGUAUAUAUUUGAAGAUAACUUCUCUACCUAAGUAACUACUAGAGCAUCUCUCACCACCUUCAAGAUCCCACCUUCAAUAUGGGUCUUGUACCUGAGGUUAUCUAAUUCUCCAAUAGACAAUAAAUUCUUCUUUAACCCUUUCAUAUGUUGUACCUCUUGAAUUAUGCAAACUGUACCAUCAUACAUUUUUAUUUUGGCAGUACCUACACAACCAAUUUCUAGGCAUAAUCAUUUCCCAUGAACACUAAUCCUUCUGAGAUAGGUUGAUGAGUGUAAAACCAAUCUCGUCAAGGAGUCAUGUGUCAUGUUGCUCCUGAAUCAAUUAUCCAAACAUCAGUGAGUUAUUUACUUCCUUUGGAACCAGUUGUUUCUCCGCUAUAUAGAAUCUCUCCAUCAUCAUAGGUAUUGGAAACACAUCCUUGAGAUGAACUUGCCUCAAAAGACUUCUCACCAUUCUUCUUAAACCAACAAACCCUUUUCAAGUGACCUUUCUUGCCACAAUUGUAGCAUUUCAGGUUUAUCUUACUUCGAUACUUUGAUCUACCAUGAUUUUGUCUCCCACUAGGGCCACGUUCCAUUGAUCUUCCUCUCGUCAUUGUCAAAGCUUCUACUUGUUUUGAGCUUUCUUCACGGUCUUCCUUAUUUAUACAUCAAAACUCUUCCUCAAGAAUGGCUCCGACAACAUCAUCAAAAUAUAGACGGCUUAUAACUUUAUUAUUUGUUAAGUUGACAGCAAGUGAAUCAUAUGAAUCUGGUAAGCUCUGAAGUAGAAGUUUUGCACGUUCAUUUUCUGCUAUGCUGAAAUUUUUCAAUGUAAGUUGAGCAAACAUCGUAUUUAGAGUGUCAAUGUGAUUUGUCACAGAUGUGGGUUCACUAAUUCGAAGAGUGUAGAGUCUUCUCUUUAAGAAAAUUCGGUUGUGAAGUGACUUGACCUCGUACAAUUUGAUGAGAACAUCCCAAAUCUCCUUUGCGGUUUUAUUUUCAGCAACGCUAGACAAAACUGAAUCCGCCAAUGCUAAGUGUAAAUUGGAAACAACGUUGUUAUCCAUCUCAUUCCACUUCUCGUCAGAUAUUCCCUCAGCUCUAUCUUCAAUUGCGGCUAAGCAAUUAUCCUUCCUCAUGAUUGCCUUUAUCUUUAGUUUUCAUAGAGAGAAAUUACUCCCGUUGAACUUCUCAAUCUCAAAUUUUACUGUCAUGGUAAUUUCAAUUGAACCAGCUUGCAUAAUUUCACCGUGAACAAUAAAGUAUACAUGGACAAUAUUGUAUAUAUUUUACCGCACACCGGAACAAAUCUGGUAUACAUUAACAAUCAUUGUAAAAGUAUACAAUAACACGUAUGAAUAGUAACUGUGAACAAUAUUCGCAUCAGAAUAUGAACCAACACCAAAUGCUCUGAUACCAUUGUUGGAUAUUAGAAUAACAUGAAAUAAUAAUAACACAACUAAAAUUUGAGAGAAAAGUAUAGGAAUAAGAAGAAAUAUAGUUAAUUCUAACUCUUGGAUGAUUAUAGGAUGAUUAUAAACUACAAUAUGAUUUCUCUAUUUAUAAGAGGAUAUGAUCCAUAAUUUCAAAAUUUUGUUGUGAAAAAGAAGUAGAAAAAGACGUUUCUUAAAAAAAAUGAAUGAAUGACAAAAGAAAAAGAAUGACAUUGUUAGAAGGAUCACAAAUUUCUAGUAGUAACAAAAAGGUAUGAUGAAUGGAGGAGAACUAGGAACCUAACUCCAAAGGUGUAACCCUACUUUCCUAAAUAUAUCCUACCUUAACAUAAGCCAAGUUACAACCUGGAAAGCCCUCUAAUGUGUGUGUUGUGAGUUCUUUGAUGAACUUUAUUAGAACGUGAUCAAGCUAAGUUUAAUUGAUUUUGCAUGUUGAUUGAGUGAUCACCCAAUCCAAUGAGUGAGUUAUAGUGAGUUGAGAGACAGGUUGAAUACUCGUCAAUGUUAAGGAUGUUUUACGAAUUCAUCGGAUAGAAGUUGGAAGCUAGAACAUGGUCAAGUAAAAAAUAAUUAUUUAGUGAUGUUCGAUUGAUAUUGUGCGACUUGUUGUCUGUUGAAAUGUGCAAUUACAGGCGAGUUACUUGAGGACAAGCAACGAUUCAAGUUUGGGGUUGUGAUGACAGUCUGUCAUUGCAUGUAUUUAGUUAAAGAAUCAAAGUAAAACAAGUGAAAGUCAACCAAAUAUGAGAAGUAAUGGUCAAAGAAUGAAGGGAAAAUAGCUAACUGUACAAAUUGUAAUUUUGAGUGAAAAAAGAGCAAAAAAUACCGAAGCUUCGAAAAUAAUCACAACCACCAUCGCGCCCGCGAUAGGGCAUUAAAAGCUUCUUCGCGCGCGUGAUGCAGUGUAUCACACGCAUGAUGGUCACUUUUUUGGGCCUUUUUUGACGUGUUCUGGUCUAUUCUGACACCUUUAAAAGGGGAAAUUGUAUACUUUCACGUGGGUUACAAAAUUUGGCACUGGAAGCAUGAUUUUACAACAUUAAAGGGUGAUUUUGAGAGCAUUAGAAGCCAUUGGAGGCCAAUCCUUCAAGGGAAUUCAUAUGUUAUUUUUAUUUAUUCAAUUGGUAUUGUAAUUUUAACUAUGAGUAAUUAAGCUUCUCUAGGUUAGGUUGUGUGAUGAUGAAUCUUAUUCAAUCUUGUUGGCAUUAUAUGUUGGUUUGACUUUGUAUGAAUCCUUUGAAUUAUAAUUUUAUUCAGUUGUUGCUUAAUCUUAAUGCUUUUUAUUUGAGAUACUCUAUUAAUAUGAUUUUGGACACAUAGGGAUUAUUAACCCUUAGCCUAUGUGUUAGACCUAGGGAAACUAUUCUACUUAUGCUGGUUGAAUAGGGAUAGAAGAUCACGAGCAAUGGCAUAAGGAAUUAACAUUAUGUACAUCGCCUAACCCUGUUUACGCUGGCGGAUUAGGGAUAGGGAGCUCCGAGUAGUGGUUAGUGAUUUAUUUCGUGAGUGGUGAGGUUAUAAGGAUGAUAUCAUUCAUAGAAGGCAUCAUACUGUAAGACCCCAAUUUUGACCCUAAGAUCUCUCAUGUUAUCUCAUCAUAUGCAUUGGCUUUGGGAUCACACAUCGGCAUCCUCCUUACCCCUCAUUCAUUGGGUUUCCAUUGGGAGAGAUCACAAAGCAUGUUUGAUUGUAUCAUACUUUAUUUUUCUUUAUUUACUAACCAAAAUACCAAAAAUAUGUCCAUGUAUAACUUUGUUUCUUUUGUAGGUAGUAUGUGCAUCCACCAAUACCUCAUCAAGCUCACAACUAGGGUUUGAGGCCCUCAGGGCAAGGAUAUCAAUCAAGAGAUGGUUCACAUUGGUUCUAUACAUCAUAUAUGGAUCCGCGUAUUCUUCAUUUAUCAUUUGGAUCAAGAAAUCAUCAAGAGUUUGAAGCUAGUUUGCCUUGGAAACCCUAAUUCAUCUGGGUAUCUUGUGUGACUUCCUCAUCAAGUUUCUUUAAAAAUUGGUCCAAUAUAUCAAGGGAUACUUCACCAUACAUCAUAUUAUGAAUAUAUGAUCCUUAAUGAGUCCAAAAGAUCAAAAGAACUUCAAUUUUGCAAGUUGGUUCAAAGAGGUUGACCAGAGAAAGUCAACUGGUCAAAAAUGGGGUUCCCUAGACUCUAUCUCCUACAAUUUUUGUCAUAUGAAAAUAAUUCAAAUAUAAAAGUUACUCCUUAUGACAUUUAAAACAACUUUCAUGUUUAGGUUAAGAGCUAGUUUUUCUUGUAAAGUCAUUUUUUAUGGUGAAAGAUUAUAGGUCAUUUUGUCUGUGUCCUAGUUAGGAGGUCAACUUCCAAGGACCAUAACUUGCUCAAUUUGUAUGAGAUGAAGACCAUGAAAGUUUCAUGAUCCAUUUAGAGAUUUCCUAUCCAACUUUGAUUCUUUUAUAAAUUUCAAAUUCAACUUGCAAGGGCUUGUGCCAAGAGGAAACAUUAUAGGUCAUUUUGGACCAUUGCCAUUGAAUGAACAAUUUUCCUCAACUUCUAAAAUGCAUAACUAAUUCAUGACAAAUCCAAAUGAGGUCAAAGUUAUUACCAAAUUGAAUAGGAUUGAAAUAGCUACAAUGUUAAUGAAGAAAUGUUUUCCAUUUGAAGCUCAUAAAAAAAGUUAUUCAAGGUGGAAGAAGUGGAUAUUUGACUUAGUACUUAGAAAAAUUUCAAUUAUGUUUGAUUUCUCAAACUUCCACCUCAAAAUUCAUCAUGAUCUAAGCCUCAAAUAGAAAAGUGUUCAACAUGAAAGUUUUCCCCCCUGAUGUCACCUUUCUGAAACGUCCAAAAUCACCUCAUUUGGAUAAGAUUUGAAUGACUUGCGCAUGGUUACUCUUCAUGGUCCCAUUUGGAUGAAUCUCAUGAUCAUUUCUCAAUUACAAAUGCAUGGCCUCAUGUUAGACUUUAAGCAUCAUUCAUGAUCAUUUUUGGACCUGAUUACAUCAUCUCAUAGGCCUAUCACAUGCCCAUGCAAGUAUGCACUUCACCUUUCCAACUUUGGCCAAUUUUUGAAGUGUGUGAAAAGCAAUGAACAUGGCUAUAAAUACAUGACCCUAGUGAUCAGAAUGAGGAUCCUCUUGCCCCAGAUUUUCCCCCUUUCUUCCCUAAACACCAUUGAAAGGAUAAUCUUGAAGAUUUCUUGAGAAAUCGAGUUUCAAUUCUCAUUCUGUUUUAGAAUUGAAACUCCAAGAGUCCAAGUUUUUUAAUCAUCAAUAUCAUCUCCUGCAAGCUUCUAGAGUCAAGCCAAGCCAAAUUGGAAGCAAGAUUAAUCUAAUUUGAAGCUCCCCGAAGGAGAGAUUUCAGAAACUUCUCUUCUUCGAUUCUUCCUCAUUUCUCAUCCAUUUUGAUUGAUUGUUGGUUUGUUGAUGUCCUACCAAUGUAGGCAACAAGAUUGAGUUGCUUUGAGGUCAAAUCGAAGCAACUCAGUUCAUGAUCCUCAAAAUUCAAAUCCAUGUAUCUUUCAAUAUACUUGGAAUUAGAUAAAAUUGAGUCCAGAUUCGUGCUUUUGAGCAUUUUUUCUCUAAAACUAUGUCCUUGUUUUUCAUUUUGGUGAAAGUUUGUGGUGGACCAGUCCGGUGAGGUCCACCGGAGAAGAUGACCGCUUCGGUGGUGCGUUGGCACUCUCUCAACCUUUUGAUCCAUUUGAAAUGUUCUAAUCUUGGCCCCUUGCUUUUGAUUACCAUGUGUGUGUCGCAGUUGACUGAGGUGUUUGUGCAACGUGCACGCUUGGCCAUUAGAUCUGCCACCUCAAUUAAUGAGGGAGAUCUGAUGGCCCCCAAUUUUCCAUAUUUCCGGAUUUUUUAUUUAAUUGUGUUAUUUUAUUUAAUUCAUAAUAAAUCCAUUUUUAAUCAAAAAAAUAUGGGACUUUCACCCAAAAAAAUUAAAUAUUUCUCUAUUCCAUAUUCUGAAUUAAAAUUAUUUUUUGGAUUGAUUUUGAUAUUUUUCACGAAUUAAGUGUUUUUGUGCAUAUUUUUAAUUGUUUAAAAAUACUUCUGACUUUUUAAAAAUCAUGAAUUUUUUUGUCUAAGGUCCUUUAACCUUGUUUGACCUAGGAUAAAUCCAUUGGCCAUUUAUUUGGUGUUUUGAAGGGAUUUGAGGUUUUGUCCAAAUAAAAAUGCAUUUAAAUUUAUUUUUAAUUGAUUAAAUGUUUGGAAAUUAUGUUGAGCCAUUUUUAUGGUCUUGUGAUGUUUGACUUUCUGUUUGGGCUUUGGUCAUGGUUGAUUUGACUUUUGUUGGAUCAAAACCAUUGGAUUUAGCGAAUUGAUGAAAUGUACAUUUCAUCUCCCAAAAUAAAUGGAUGGUUUUGAUUAGAUGAAAUUACUCUCAUGAUCAAUUUGUGUUUCUAUUUCCACUUCCCUCUUCAUCUUCAUCCCCAUUCUUCCCCAUUUCCUCAUUUGACCAAUGAAAGCUCUAAUGUCUAAAUGCUAAUUGAUUCAUCAAUGACUUUGUGUCAGAUGAAUCAAUAUAAAUAUGACUGAGAUAGGUCCCUUCCCAUUUUUCUUUAGUGUGUGGUAUGUUUUAGGAGUUUGGUUCUUUGUACCAAAUCUCUAACAUGCAUUAACACCUAUAUUUUUAUUGUUCGGCCUCAUAUAGUUGUGACUUCUACAUAAGUCCAAUUACGAUUGCUUAAAAUUGAGCUAAAUUUGACCCUCAAGGCACAACAUUCUAGUAAGUGAGAUUGUAAAGUCUCCCAUUCUUCAUGGCAUUGUGUGGGGAAUUGACCUUUUUUCCUUUCAUGAGAGCUAGUGGCAUACUUAUUGAAUUAUCCAAGUUGGAGCCCUUCUCAUGGAUGAUGUCUUGGUUCAAGGAUCCAUACUUGUGAGUGAAUGGUUGAGUGUUAUCCAAAGAAUGACUUAAUCAAUUAAACUCAACACUAACUUUUGACUAACCAUUGACUAACUUUUAGUCCUUAUGCUUUUACUUUCAAGCCAUUUACUUUAUACAAUUUUAAUUUCCAGUGAUUUAUUAUUCAUUGCCAUUUACAUUUCAUAUAGCUUAUUUAGGUUCAAGUCCUUUUUCACUUUGCUCACUUGAGCCAUAUCUUGUGAUUGUAUAUAUUUGUUUGUGUGUUUUGAUCUUGUUUGUGGUUUUAAGACCUUAAAACACCUAAUAACAUCAAAAACCCUAAAAAACAUUUGGUGGACUGUUGGGGUUUGAUUUGAGCUUUGGACUUAGAAUUAGGUAACUUUACCUAUGCUAAAGGACUUGGCCAAUGCCAACAUAUGAGACUGAGCUAUUCUUGACAAGUGAUUUUUAUCUGUCUCUGUGAUUAAUUGUUACUUUGUUAUGAUCUUUGUCUGAUGUUUUGUUCUGAGCUGAUCAAGGAAUAUUUCAUCUGAUACAUGGGAAGACAAUGAAGACUACUAACUAUUGGAAUGCUUGCUUGUAUGUGGCUAUCUUUAUUUGAUGCCUUAAUCUUUAUGAUGUCUAGAUAUUGCUCAUUGCUUAUUGCUUAUUGCUUGAUCAAAGUCCAAAGGAAAAUGGGUUUCUAUAUGACAUUCUUGUCUGUUGGAUUGCAUCCCAUUUGUUAGAUCUUUUCAACUCUUAACUUUUGAAUUUUUGCUUAGGGUCGUCUAUUCAUCUCCUUCCACUUCUUAAAUUUCAAAAUCUCUCCCUCGUUUCAAAAAACUUUCUUUGCUUGUGAUUUUAAAUUUAUACAUGUUUUAAUAAUUAGAAACUUUGACCUUAUGCCAAUGAAUUUUAAAAUCUUUUCUUAAUCAAAUUUGUAAAUAAACUUAACCAUAUUUGACUUAAAAUUUCAAAAGACAAAAAUAACUAACAACCUCAUUCAAAACUUUGGCCUUUUUGUGCCUUUUUUACUUAAACUUUUGUUAAAAAUCAACUCACCAACUUUUUUGAAAUUUUUAUCACGAACUACGAGGUUUUGAUCCCUCAUUUUUAUGUUGGUACGUAUGCACAAGACCGAAGGUGUUGUCAAACAAAAAAAAAUAAUCAAUGAAUUCUUUUCUCAUCCCCACACUCUAUUUUUCUUAAACAUCUUUUAUACCAAAACAUAUGCACACAUAAAAAGGGCUCCCUAGGAGUAUCUAGGACACUUUGGAUGCUAACACCAUCCCUCUGUGUAAUCAACCCCCUUACCUGUAAUCUUUGGCAUUUUAUUAAUUUUGAUUUGAAAACUUCUUAUACUUGGGUUUUGUUCGUACUUUUCCCUUUUUCUUUGGAAACAAUAAAAGCGCGGUGGCAACUCUGAUUUUAUUGACGUUAAACUUAUCCAUAGCUUGAUGGUCAUGAAUUUACCGCUACACAUACAUCAACAAGAGAGCAUAAGGGGAUUCUAAUACACAACCCAAUCGUCUUAAUUACUUAUAUUUCAAACUCGUAAUUUGUUUUCCAUCUAAAAACCUGAAAACCUCUCAUUUACUGCUUUCCUUUACAUUGCACAAUUGUUGGCUUGUUCGAACACAGUCCUUGUUGAUUCAAUCUUUUAUUACUAUGAUAGUAUCUGUACACUUGUCGAGAAGUCAUCAUAUAACAAUUCCAAUCGAUAAGCAUAAUAUCUUUUAUGCUAAAAAUUUAUUUCGCCACACAAAAUCAAUUUUGUUUUAGAAACUCUGAUAAAAGUUUUUCAAACUAUUUUUCAGAGGAAUUUUUUAUGAAGGUCUAUUUACCCCCCCCCCCCCCCCCCCCCCCCNCCCCCCCCCAAUAUACCGUUUAUUGUCCAUAUUCUCAUCCAACACUUUUAAACUACUCUUCAAUUUUCAUCAUAAAAAUUAAACGACAAUUAUACUUGCACAACACAUAUAUUCACUCAAAGGAUAAAUUUUUAUCCUCUUAGGAUACUCUAAAAUAUCUAAGGCAUGCAAGUGUAUGACAAGAAAACCUUAAGGGUUAGGGAUCAAUCCAUAUAAAGUAUUAUGAUAAAGAGUUUGAUAAUAAUAAGUCAUAGCUAGUUAAAGAUUUUAAAGAUUUGGAAAUCAUAAAAAAACUUCUAACACAUGUACAUGUACAUAACAUUGAAGCAUCCCUUCAGUGUUACAAAGAAUAUGAUCCCAUGUGAUGAAGCACCACCUUGACUAACCUUUAAGUACAUGUCAUCAUAUCCAGAAGAGAAAAUCAUUAGUAACAAAGAUGAUCCUCUAAGUAACAUAUCAUCAUUCAUAAAUGAAACCUCUUUAGUUGAAUGCCUUUCAAUGCUUGAACCAACCUCUGUGGAUUUGAGAGACGAUGUUUAGAUAGUGGAAAUUCAAAAAGAACUAAAUCAAUUCCAAACAAAUGAAAUUUUGGUUAUUACGCCAUGAUUACAAGGAAGACAUGUCAUUAGAGCCAAAUGAGUUUUCAUAAACAAUCUUAAUGAGAAACGAGAUGUGGUAAGAAAUAAAGCUAAACUAGUAUAUCAAGUCUACAUUUAGUAAGAAGGUAUCAAUAGUACUAAAACUUUUUCACUUGUAAGUUAGAAGAAAUUUAAAAUUUUACGGGACCAUUUAUUCCCUUAACUUUUAAAAAUACCGAUUCAAUCCCUUAUGUCUUCACAUGUUAGACCUUUCUGUUAGGCAUGUUAGUCAAAGUAAAAAUAAAUGGCCAUUUGACAUAAACUUGGCACUGAUGUGGCAUAUGCUCAUUACCAAGGUCGCCAAGGUCAUCAAAAUUCUAAGAAAAAUUCCAAAAUUUUGUCUUCACCAUUGAUUUAAACCAUGGUCGCAUUGAUUGCUGGGUAAGAUACUAUACCGUUGGGCCACUUCACCAUUUUUGAUUUAAUUUACAAAUUAAAUAUAUAUUGAAAUAUUAAUUAUUUGUAAAAAGAAGAUAUUCAACCCAACCAAUAUCACUGUUUUAUCCAAUUUUCUUGUUUCCAUACCCAAAUGGAUUAGCUGGUUAUGCUUUUUCCUUUUCAUCAAAAGUCAAGGAAAAGAUAUUAACAUCUUCAUAUUCGAAUAAAGAUAUAUAUUCCAUUGAAACACCAUGGUUAACAACCUUAAAGAAUCCAAACUCUUCAGUUAUGAGUGCGGUUUGUUUCAAGUUUCUUAAACAUGGAUAUUGUAGUGGUAAAUUCAUGACCAUCAAGCUAUGGAUAAACUUAACGUCAAUAAAACCAGAGUCUCCACCGUGCUUUUAUCGUUUCCAAAGGAAAAGGAAAAAGUACGAACAAAACCCAAGGAUAAAAUGCCAGAGAUUACAAGUAAGGGGGUUGGUUACACAGAUGGAAGGUGUUAGCACCCGAAGUGUCCUAGGUACUCCUAGGGAGGCCUUUUUGUGUGCAUAUGUCAAUCAAAAAAUUAACUUUAGUUCAGAAUGUGGAAGAGAAAAAUAUUUUUUUUUUGUGAAAGUCCCAUAUUUUUUGGAUUAAAAAUGGAUUUAUUAUGAAUUGAACAAAAUAACUCAAUUAAAUGAAAAAUCAAAAAAUAUGGAAAAUCAUCGACCAUCAAUCUCCCUCAUUAAUUGAGGUGGCAAAUCUGAUGGCCACGCAUGUGCAGUCCACCAAAGACCAAGCCAAACGCGUUGCAUGAAUGGUAAUUGGAACGAAGGGAUGAAAUUAAAUUUUUUUGAAUGGAUCAAAGGGUUGGGAACACGACAACACACCACUGAAGCUAGGGCUCUGGUCAUCUUCUCCGGUGAACCUCACCGGACUGGAUGACCACCAACCAUCACCAAAAUGAAAAACAAGGACAUGAUUUUAAAGAAAAAAUGCCCAGGAGCUCGAGUAUGGUCUCAAUUUUGUCCAAUUCCAAGUAUAUUGAAAGAUACAUGGAUUUGAAUUUUGAGGAUUAUGAACUGAGUUGUUUCGAUUUGACCUCAAAGUAACUCAAUCUUGUUGCCCACAUUUGUAGGACUUCAGCAAACCAACAAUCAAUCAAAAUGGAUGAGAAAUGAGGGAGAAUCGAAGAAGAGAAGUUUUUGAAAUCUCACUUUCGAGGAGCUUCAAAUCAACUUGAUCUUGCUUCCAAUUUGGCUUGGCUUGACUCUAGAAGCUUGCAGGAGAUGAUAUUGAUGAUUAAAAAACUUGGACUCUUGGAGUUUCAAUUCUAAAACAAAAUGAAAAUUGAAACUCGAUUUCUCAAGAAAUCUUCAAGAUUAUCCUUUCAAUGGUGUUUGGGGAAGAAAGGGGUCGGAGCUUGGGAAAGAGGAUCCACAUUCUGAUCACCAGGGUCAUGUAUUUAUAGCCAUGUCCAUUGCUUUUCACACACUUCAAAAAUUGGCCAAAAUUGGAAAGGUGAAGUGCAUGCUUGCAUGGGCAUGUGAUAAGCCCAUGAGAUGAUGUAAUCAGGUCCAAAAAUGAUCAUGAAUGAUGCUAAAAGUCUAACAUGAGGCCAUGCAUUUUUAAUUGAGAAGUGAUCAUGAGAUUCAUCCAAAUGGAACCAUGAAGAGUAACCAUGCUCAAAUAAUUCAAACCUUGUCUAACUGAAGUUAUUUUGGACUUUUUGGAAAGGUGGGAUCAAGGGGAACAACUUUAAUGUUGAACAUAUUUCCAUUAGAAACUUGGAUCAUGAUGAAUUUUAAGGUGGAAGUUUGAGAAAUCAAACAUAAUUGAAAUUUUUCUAAGUACCAAGUCAAAUAUCAUUUCUUCCACCUUGAAUAACUUUUGCUAUGAGCUUCAAAUGGAAAAAGUUUAUUCAUAAAAGUUGUAUAUCUUAAAAUUAUAUUCAAUUUGGUCAUGAAGGAGUUAUGCAUUUUAGAAGUUGAGGAAAAUUGCUUGUUCAAUGGUAAUGACCCAAAAUGACCUAUAAUGUUUCCUCUUGGAACAUGCCCUUGCAAGUUGAAUUUGACAUUUUUCAAAGAAUAAAAGUUGGAGAGGACAUCUUGAAAUUGAUUAUGAAACUUGUAUGGACUUCCUCUCAUAAAAAUUGAGCAAGUUAUGGUCCUUGGAUGUUGACCUUCUAACUAGGGUACAAACAAAAUGACCUAUAAUGUUUCACCAUAAAAAGUGACUUUCCAAGAAACAAUAGCUCUUGAUGCCAACAUGAAAGUUGUUUGGAAUGUAAUAAUAAGUAACUUUUCAGUUGGUAUAAUUUUCAUAUGACAAAAUUUGUAGGAGAUAGGGUCUAGGGAACCCCAGUUUUGACUAGUUGACUUUCUCUGGUCAAGUUCUUUGAACCAACUUGCAAACUUGAAGUUAUCUUGAUCUUUUGGGCUCAUGGAGGAUCAUAUAUGCAUAAUAUGAUGUUAUAUGAAGUAUACCUUGAUAUAUUGGACCAAAUGCUGGAGAAACUUCCUGAGGAAGUCACACAAGAUACCCAGAUGAAUUAGGGUUUCCAAGGCAAAACAAGCUUCAAACUCUUGAUGAUUUCUUGAUCCAAAUGAUAAAUAAAGAACAUGGGGAUCCAUACAUGAUGUCUAGAACCAAUGUGAACCAUAUCUUGAUUGAUCUUAUUGCACUGAGGGUCUCAAACCCUAGUUAUGAGCUUGAUGAGGCAUUGGUGGAUGCACACACUACCUACAAAAGAAACAAAGCUAUACAUGGACAUAUUUUUGUAUUUUGGUUAGUAAAUAAAGAAAAACAAAGUAUGAUACAAUCAAAUGUGCUUGGUGAUCUCUCCCAAUGCAAAACCAAUGAUUAUGGGGUAAGGAGGAUGCCAAGGUGUGAUCCCAAAGCCAAUGCAUAUGAUGAGAUAGCAUGAGGGAUCUUAGGGUCAAAUUUGGGGUCUUACAGAUAUUUCUUUGUUGUUGUUUUUGACAACACAACCAUUUUGAAUGGAUGAAAGAAAGCAUAGGUGAUUAAUAUUCUAAAAUUAUAAUGAGUUUUUAUCAUGUGUAUAACCUUAAUAAAAAAAAAGCCACAACUUAUUUCAGAAAUUAUUUGAAACCAAGAAAUCUUAAUAAGAGCUAUGGGAAACUUAUUAUGAUUUUUUACCAUGUGUGCAAUCUUAAUCGAAAUCCAGAAAUUAUUCUACAAAUAUUCCAUAAAUCAAAAUCAAAAUUGAAAUCAUACUUACAAAUUGAAAUUGAAAUCUUAAUCGAAACCAAAACCCAGAACAUCAAACUAAAACUAAAAUCUUAAUCAAAAUUGAAAUCUCUAUUGAGAUUGUUCAUCAUCUUCCCUGAAAUCUCUAUCGAGAUUAUUCAUCAUCUUCCCUAAGAUGCUUUUGCUGAAAUAACCACUGCAACACCGAUUGGGUUUAAUGAACAUUACAGAAUCUGGAGACAAGAUUGUUCUUCAUCAAUUUGAGUUGUUUUGGCGAGAUGAGGUUCUUCGAUAGAAAUAAAGUUAGGAACUUUUUGGUUACUUAGGAGAAAAGGAAAAUGAACAAGUUAAUGAAGAUGAACAUUGAACUAAAUCAACCAUUCCUAGAAGCUGAAAGGAACAAAAUUGAUAAUGAAUUUGAGGAUGAGAUUUCUUCCUCCAUGUUUUCAUGGAGAAAUCAUUGGUACCCAGCUUCUUUAAUUGAAGAUCUGAACCCUGGCUUACCAACACCGUUUCAGCUUCUAGGUCAUGAAAUCGUGAUUUGGUAUGAUAAUUCCAAAUCUCAAUGGGUUGCUUUUGAUGAUAAAUAUCGUCACUGUCUUGUUAGAGAAACAUUGAAUAAUGCUCUAUUUAGAUAAACAUUUGAAUUAAACGUUUAUAAACAUGUGAAUAUAUAUCUAAUUUGUAAAUUAAAUCGUCAAAGGUUAAAUGGACCAGUGGUACACCAUCUUGUCCAACUACCAAGGUGACCUUGUUUUGAAUCUAGGUUGAAGAUAAAUUUUUGGAAUUUUGUUUAGAAUUUUGAUGACCUUGUUGAUGACCAUAGGCCACAUCAGAUGCCACACAUGCUAAUAUAGAUGUCGUUUAUGGAAACUAGACAUAAAGGACUUAAAUGACAAUGUAUGAAGACAUAAAGGACUAUAUUGGUCUUUUAAAAGUUUAUGGACCAAAAUAGACCCUGAGAUAUAUGUUUUUAAAUUGAAAAAUAAUUGUAUGAUCUCAAACAAGCCCUCAAAGUUUGAUAUGGUGGGUUUAGUAACAUUCUCAUUAAAAAUGAUUUUUAAAGAGGACAACUUGACAUUAAAUUAUUUUGUAAAAUAACCAAGAAUAGUAUUUUUUGGUAUAUGUUGAUGAUAUAUGUUGUAGAUAAUUUAGAUAUAUGUUGAUGAUAUAUUUUUUUGGUUCUCUAAUAUGUAACUAUUUUUCAAUACUUUUUCAAGUUAAUGCAAACUGAAAUUUGAAAUGAGGGCGACGGGACUUCGAAGUUAUUUCUGGGUAUUCAAAUAAAUCAAUUGUACAUAUGGAAUAUACAUUCACUAAAUAAAAUGUAAGCAUAUGAAAACUCCAAUUCACCUUAAUUGCAUUAUACAUAAAAGAUGAAAUCAACACUAGGGUAGCCCAAAAUGUAUACAAAAUUAUAAUAAUUUCACUUAUUAUCUCACUAUUUUUAGACCUGAUAUUCUAUUCAUUGUAUGUAUGUACGUUCAUUUCCAAUCAGUUCCUAGAAAAUCCAAUUUAACUAACAUUAAGAGAAUGCUUAUAUAUGUGAUAGAUACUACUAACAUUGGCUUGUAUUAUAAGAAAUUAAAUGAUUACAAGCUAGUUAGGUUCUGCGAUGUUGUCUAUGUUGGAGACAAAAUAGAAAGAAAAAAUAACAAUGAAAGUUGUUAGUUCCUUGGUUAUAAUAUCAUUUCCUAACUAAGAAAAAGACAACAAAUAAUUUCAAUAUCCAUAAUAGAAGCAUAAUACAUAUCAACUGUAAGUUGUAACACUCAACUUCUUUGGAUGAAACAUCAACGUGAAGAUUAUCAUAUAAAGGAAAGUAAGAUUUAUAUUUAUUAUGAUAAUACUUCUUCCAUUUUUUAAUUUAUGAAUCAAAUUUUGCACUCUAUAGCAAAACAUGUUGAGAUUAAACAUCACUUUACUAGAGAUUAUGUUCAGAAAGAGAUUUUAGAUAUAAAGUUUGUUGAUAGAGAUCUUCAAAGGGCUAAUAUAUUAACAAAACUCUUAACCGAAGAUAAAUCUAGUUUUAUAAAGAAGAAUUUAAAUAUUCUCUUUAUAAAAAAGAAUGAUGUUUUAAUCUUAUAUAUAUAUUAUAUAUAUUAUAUAUAUAAUUAUAUAUAUUAUAUAUAUAUAUAUAUAUAUAUAUAAUAUAUAUAUAUAUAAUAUAUAUAUAUAUAUAUUAUAUAUUAUAUAUUAUAUAUAUAUAUUUAUAUAUAUAUAUAAUAUAUAUAUAUAUAUAUUAUAUUUAUAUAUAUAUUUAUAUAUAUUAUAUAUAUAUAUUAUAUAUUAUAUAUUAUAUAUUAAUAUUAUUAUAUAUAUAAUAUAUAUUUAUAAUAUUAAUUAUUAUUAUAUUAUAUAAUUCUAUAUAUAUUUAUAUUAUAUAUAUAUAUGAGCUGAAAGAUCUUGACUUAAAGUUCUACCUUAACUUUCAAACAUACAAUUUCAACUAAGAUUAACCCUAAGUGUUGUGUUUCUAUUAUUAUUUUUUUGGUUGUAUUUUCUAAGGGGAUAUUUUGAAUAUAAUUCUUUGAAUGAUCAAAUGAAAAUAUUUUUUUUUGUUUCUAAGCCAAAGAAUGAUCACCUGCCUCCAGACAAAGCUAUGAUCAUCUGUUGCCUAACAAGGUUAACCACUUAGACCUCAAGGCUAAAUGUUAUUUGAAUAAUCAUUUGUGCCAAAUCUAACUAAACCAAACCAAUGCAGUUUGAAUUGAUUCGGUUGAUUCGAUUUCUUACAAGAUUUUUAUUGAGCUAUACAUACACAUAUAGAGGACAACACAAAUUUGUGUCUAGUAAUUCAUACAUUACCAAAUAAAAAAUAAAAAAAAGUCAAUGAGGACAAGCUACAACACCAUUUCAACACCAAAUAAUAAAAAAAACUCAAAUAACAAUGUGUAUUACAAAGUACAAAUUGAAAUUUUAGACAAUAACAUUAAUGCCUUACAUUACAAUAUUAUGGUAGCAACACAAGAAUACCACCUAGACCAAAACUAGACUAUCCAUCACACAAUAAAACAAAUAAAUACUUCAAUCAUAUAUUAGAUCUUAAAAACACAACACUUAAGGUUGAAGAAGAGAAAAGAUGUUAGAAAUCCACUACAACUUAUGAAGAAUUUUUAUCAAUCUUGAUGAACAAGAUUGUUAUCAACCAUGCAAUGACAAUGAAAAUAAAAGAACAAUUGAGAAAGAAAGAAAAGAACGUUGGAGAAUAAUAAUAAUAUUUUCUUCAGAGUUUUUUCUCUGCCCAUAAUAUGUGGACAACUUCUUUAUUGACUUUGCGACUGCAAAAUUCUAUGAAUACAAUGUUAUGACUUCUCUAUUGUAAGAAUAAGGGUUACUCCCUCUAUUUAUAGAUUUAGGUUAACUUACUCCCUAAGUCAAAGCCCAAAACUAUAAAAACCAAAAAUAGUUAACACUACUAAAAAUAGGCCUAAGCUGAAAUCAUGUAUGAAGCAACAUGCUUCGACACUUCGACACACUAAUACAACUCAACACACUAGGUGAUUUGACAUUUCCUUGCUUUUGUCGAGCAACCUGCUUCGACAAAAGGAAUUACAAUUCAAUGCACCGCCUAAUUCAUUAUGUCUAAGCUAUAUAUAUUCAUUAUAGUUCUUAGUCUUUUGAGCACUUCGACUUGCAUUCCCUUCGUCAUGAUGUCUGCAAUCUGAUUCUCAGUUUUGUAGUGUUCCACAUUCAUCUUCCCAUCUACUGCUUUCUCUCAAAGAUAAUGGAACCUCAUUUCGAUGUGCUUGGUUCGACCAUAUGCUAUCAGAUUCUUUGCCAGAUUGAUAGCUUACAUGAUGUCGAUCUUUAUGGUAAUUGCUCCAUGACUCUUUGUUGUUAUCUCUUUGACUAGAUUCACCAUCCAUGUUGCUUGACAUGCACAAAGGGAAGCAACUAUGUAUUCUGCUUCACACGACGAUAAUGCCACUACUGGCUCCUUUCUCGAACUCCAAGCAACUGGUGCACCACCUAGCAUAAACACAUAGCCAUCUGUGGAUUUUUUAUCGCCAGCAUCACUACAACAACUUGAGUCGGUGUAUCCCACUAGUUUGCAUUCUUUUCCUUCAUCAUCUACAGGAAACAAAAUGUCAUAGUCGAGAGUUCCUUUCAGAUACCUUAAUAUCCUCUUCGUCGCUGCUAGAUAUGAUAUCUUUGACUUCUGCGUGAAUCUACUCCUCAUACCUAUAAUGUAUGCUAAGUCAGGCCUUGUGUGACAAAUGUAUCGAAGUGACCCAAUAAGUCUUCUAUAUUGGGUUGAGUCGACAUCAUCUUCAUCUGAAUCUUUCGACAGUUGUAAUCUUGGCUCAACUGGAGUCGAAGUUGGAUUGAAAUCUUGCAUCUCAAAUCUCUUGAGCAUUUCGCCUGCAUACCUUCUUUGAUGCAUCAUCAAACCUCUACCACUCUUGUAGAAUUCGAUGCCAAGGAAAUAUGAAAUGUCACCCAGAUCUGACAUUUCGAAUUCCUUGUUGAGAUCACCUUUGAAGUCUCCAAUCUCCUUCUUGCAGCUACUUGUUAUCAACAAGUCAUCGACAUAGAUACAUAGUAUAAGAAAUUCAAUCUUGCUUCUUCUUACAUAUACUCCAUGUUCAGUUGUACACUUCAUAAAUUCCUUCUCCCUUAGAAAUCCAUCUAUUUUCUUGUUCCAAUCUCUUGGAGCUUGUUUAAGUCCGUACAAGGCUUUAUGUAGACUGUACACUUUUCUUUCUUCGCCUUGUUUCAUAAACCCAACUGGUUGUACAACAUAAACUUCUUCUUCUAAGGGGCCAUUCAAGAAUGCAUAUUUCACAUCCAUCUAACACAUCUGCCACCUGUUCAUGUUUUCUAGACCAACAACCAACCUAAUUAUUCUGAUCCUAGCAACAGGUGCAAAAACUUCAUCGAAGUUGAUUCCUUCUUUCUGAAGAAAUCCUUUCACCACAAGUCUUGCCUUAUGUCGAGCCACUUCUCCUUUGGGAUUUAGCUUCACCUUGUAUACCCACUUCAUAUCGAUUUCCUUCUUAUCUUGGAGCAAUUCAACAAGCGACUAAGUACUGUUGACUUUGAUUGACUUCAAUUCUUCGUUCAUUGCUUUCACCCACUUAGAAUCUUUCAAUGCCUUAGCUGCAUUGAUCGGUUCGACAUUUGUGUAGAAAGUAUAGUGUACCAACUCACAUUCUUCAUUUACCACAUCAUCUGAUGUAAUCACACAUUCUUACAACCUUGUAGGCAUAUGUCUUGUUCUUUGAGGUCUGCUUGGGUCUGCUUCACCUCUGACUUCUUGUCGAACUUCUCUUUCGACUUCACUAGCUGGAUCAUCACAUAAUAUUCUCACUGAAUCCUUCUUAACAUUCUCAAUCCAAUCCCAUUCCUUAAGCUCAUAUAUGAUCACAUCCCUGAUGACCACCACUUGCUUAUUCACUGGGUCGAACAACUUGUAUCCUCUAGUCGAAUGAUAUCAUAUCAGGAUCAUUUGACUCGACUUGCCAUCAAGUUUUCUUCUCAAUUGAUAUGGAACAUGUAUAUAUGUUAUAGAUCCAAACACCUUUAGAUGACUCAACCUAGGCUUGGCACCAAACAAAUAUUCUUCUGGCGUGAUUCCUUUUAUCUUCUUCGUCGAACAUCUAUUCAGGAUAUAUGUUGCAGUCGACACAAUUUCUCCCUAUAAUUCUUUGGGUAGAUGCUUUCCUUUCGACAUACUUCUCACCAUAUUUAUGAUGGUUCUAUUCUUCCUUUCCGUGACUCCAUUCUGUUCUGGAGUGUAGGGCGACACCACCUCAUGCACAAUCCCUUCUUUCACACGUAAUGCGUCGAAGUCUUUCGACAAAUAUUCUCCACCACCAUCAGUCCUCGGAAUCUUGAGCUUUCGACAGCUUUGUCUUUCGACCAUAGAUUUAAACUUGGUAAAUACCUCGAUCACUUCACUUUUCUUCUUGAUCAAGUAAGCCCAUAGUUUUCGAUUGAAAUCAUCUAUGAAUGUGACAAAGUAUUUGUUACCUCCAAUCGAAUCCACCUGGAUAGGACCACAUACGUCAUAAUAUAUAACUUCAAGAAUUGCCUUCGACCUACUUCCUGCGUCCUUACUGAAGAUGUUCUUGUGCUGCUUCAUUUGCACACAUUCUUCACACACUUCGCCUGGAAUAUCGAUUUCUGGUAAUCCUUAAACCAUAGUUCUUCUCUUUAAAUCUAUGAUGUCUUUGAAAUUGAGAUGACCAAGUCUGUAAUGACAUAUCCAUUCAUCUCUGAUGGCUGAUGUUGCAAGGCACUUAUGCUUCAUCACAUUAAGCUCAAUCUUGAAGGUUCUAUUAUGAGAUAUUAGAGCCUUCAAGAUCAAUCUUCCAUUUGAGUAGAGACCUCCCAUCAUCUUGUCUUCGAUCGACACCUUGUAGUUCUUUUAGACUAACUGCCGUAUGCUGAGCAAAUUACUCUUCAUGCCUGGUAUGUACAACACAUUUGAAAUUACUGACCUCUUGCCAUCUUUCCUCAUAAUCAGAGCAUCAAUAACACCUUCAACUACUAGAGUAUUGUCAUUUGAAAAUUUCACCAUGUUCUUCAUUGAGGGCUUUAUGUUGACAAACCAAUCUUUCCUUCCCAGACAUGUGUGAUGAGCAUCCUGAGUCCAAGUACCAUUGGUCCUUGAAUCCCUCUUCAUCUCUCGUUGUAACCAUCAGUGACAUCUCUUCUUCUUCAUGUUUCACUAGCUUUGCAUAAGUUUCUUGAUUCUUUUGCUUUUCUGGACAAUCACUAGAAUAAUGACCAUGCUUCUGACAAUUGUAACACUAAAUGUGAAUCUUGUCUGGCUUUUGACCACCACCUCUUCCUCUACCUGUAACACCACCUCUUUGGUUGCCUUGGUUAUAGGGUUUUCUAUGAUUCGACCAGUUUCCUUCUUGCUGAUUUCGACCAGUCGAAUUGUUGUAGCCUCUUUUGCUAUUGUUAUCAUUCUAGCUUUCUUUGCCUUUCCUUUCUUUUGCUGAUUGCGCCAGCAAAGCCAUAUCACUCUUCGAAUUUCCUGCAGCUCUUUCAGCCAUUCUUUAUUCAUGAGAUUCAAGCAUCCCUUGAAGUUAUUCCUUUGUCAGUUUUGAUAAAUCUUUCGAAUCUUUUAUGACUACUAUCCCGUGGUCAAACUUUGGAGCCAACUGCCUCAAGAUAUUUCCAACAACAAAUCUUGAUGUCAACACUUCUCCAUAUACCUUGGUUUGAUUCACCAGUUUCGUAACCUUGGUGAAGAAAUCAGUUAUGCUUUCAUUGUCUUCCAUCUGAAGCAAUUCACACGUCCUUUUGUCUGUUUGUAACCUCACUUCUUUCACCUUCUCCGCGCCUCUAAAUGACUUCUCCAGAAUUUCUCAUGAUUCUUUCGCUGACUCUACAUCACUAACCUUUUCAAAGUUACCUGAAUCAACACAUUGAUGGAUUAUAAAGAGAGCUUUAUAAUCUUUCUUUUUCAAUUCUUUAUGUGCAACCCUUUCUUGUUCUGUCACGUUUUCUGCAAGCGUUGUUACUUCUUCCUUCACAAGACCCCAAAGAUCUUGAUAAUAGAACACAACAUUUAUCUGCUUGCACCAAUUCUCAUAAUUAUUAUUCUUGAGAAUUAGAAGAUUCACUGGAAAAUACCCGUUUGGAUGAUUCAUUUCCAUCAUGAUUUUCUUCCCAGGAAUCGCUCAAACCAAAGCUCUUGAUACCAGAUGUUAGAAAUCCAUCAUAACCUUUGGAAAAUUUCUAUCAAUCUUGAUGAACAAGAUUGUUAUCAACCACGCAAUGACAAUGAAAAUAAAAGAACAAUUGAGAAAGAAAGAAAAGAACGUUGGAGAAAAAGAAGAAUAUUUUCUGUAGAGUUUUUCUCUGUCCAUAAUUUGUGGAAAACUUCUUUAUUCACUUUACAACUGUAAAAUUCUGUGAAUACAAUGUUAUGACUUCUCUAUUACAAGAAUAAGAGUUACUCCCUCUAUUUAUAGAUUUAGGUUAACUUACUCCCUAAGUCAAAACCCAAAAUUAUAAAAGCCCAAAAUAGUUAACACUACUAAAAAUAGGUCUAAGUCGAAAUCCUGUGUGAAACAACAUGCUUCGACACACUAAUACAACUCAACACACUAGGUGAUUCGACACUUCCUUACUUCCGUCGGACAACCUGCUUCGACAAAAGGAAUUACAAUUCAACAAAUCAUUUAUAAUCAUAAGGGUAAAGCAAAAUGAAUUUGAAUUCGGUUUGAAUGUGAAUAAAGUGAAAUUUGGGUUAUCACAUAAUGCAAUUCGAUUUGAUUUAUAAAAUACACAUCACAAAUCGAAAAUGACGCGCAUGGUUCUACUAAAAAUGACUCAAACACGUCGAAACUAAACUUACUUUUUAUAUAUUCAAUUUUAUUUAGUUCAUUCAUCAAUUUUUUAUUGCACCGAUUCGAUUUUAAAUAGCUUUAUCAAUACCCAAAGUAACACGUUCAUAUAGACUCAACACAGCGUAACCCAUAUUCCUACUAAUUUCAAUUUAAAAUAUAAGAAAAGGAAUAAAAUAAUUAUCAACUUUUUAAAUGGCUUUUAACGGUCACAUGACCGAUUUUUAUCAAAACGUUUUUGAAAGGGUUUUAACGGUCACAUGCAACAAAAAAAAUACCUACAUAAAAAACAUGUCAAAAACUUAAUUUUGCCAGAAGCAAUCACUGUAUUAACGAAUAAAUAAUUGAUUGUUUCUAUUGUAAAUCAUGUUAGAAAACAGGGUGGUUAGGACACGGCCGUCCAGCCAUUAACUUGCAUAAUUAAAUGUUAAUUAUCCAAUCAGAAUAUAUAAAGGCUGGCGUCUAAUCUUAAAUACCUAAAAUUUUAUGUUUAUUCUAUCUUCGCGAACGAGACAAUGACAAUCAUUAAUUUUCUUAUUUCAUCAACAAAAAGAAAGACAAUGAUUAAGUUUACAUGCUUGUUACAAGCCAUUACUAUAAUACAAACUUUCAGAUUAAAAAACACUUUGAAUUAAUUAAUAUUCUUGCAGCUAGAUGAGUACAGAAGCAUAUAAUAAUAAUGUCACCUAACAUACCUUAAUUUAAUUCCCUGAAUAGCGUCAAUGACUUGUCCCGAUAACAUUAAUAAAUGUAUGGUUUGAAAGUUGUACUCCAUUGAAAUUUGAAAUUUGAAAUUUGUUUUGGGGGUUUUAUUCUUACUAAUUUUCUGGCAAAUACAGAGAAAAUAGCGUGGCGUUGCAUGGCCCACUUUACCCUUCAUAUCAUCUCGAUCGGAAAUGCGAUUUUAUAGCUAAUAAAAUAACUAAACUAAAUACAAAAAUAUAAAAAUACAAAAAUAACCAACAAUUUCAAAUUAAAAAAAAAAAUAAGUAUUUUAAAAAUUUUACCAACAGAACAACGAUAAGAGGAGUAGCCACUAUAUGAGGCAUAUGUACUACAUUUUUAAAUAAAGACAUCAUUAUAGUUGGCGCAUGCUUGUAUGUGAUGCCACUUGUGUAUCUAAUGUGUCACAGGCAGUGACUACUGCUUUGUUAGUGUAUUAUAUAAAUACUGCAUUUCCUUCCCAUCAUUUUUCACACUUCUUCUAACUAUCUCCUUCUAUUUUUUUCUUCAAAAUAUCUUCAUAUAUGUGUUCUUAUUUUCAGAAGAGAAAUAUCAAUUUAAUUUAUUCGACAGUAAAGUCUCCGAUGAAGAUCCAACUCUGGAAUAUAGAGACGUUCGAGCAUCUUAAUAUGAGUUUGAUCUGUUGGUUAGAUGGAGACAUUGCAAAGGAUGAAAACAUCAUGAGAAUUCAAAGGCUUGUUACCGUAUUCAACGACAAUGGAGAAAGUCGUUUAUGAGACAAUGUUAAAACUGACAGAGAUGCUCGCAUUAUGAUGCACAGUUCUGAGGAAAUUGUCUUGAUGGUUGUAAUCACAUAGUUAUAUUUUUCAGUCAUUGUAUUUAUUUGUCUUGUUGUUUAAAUUAUUGUUUAGUUCUUGUUUAAAUUGUUGUAACCGAAUGUUAUGAUAUUUAUAAAUUGAACGUUGUUUUCAAUAUAAAGUAAAAUGAUUACAUAUAAAAUUAUGUUGCGGUACUUGGUCCAACAUUGGGACAAUUUAUACGAUGGUGUUCGGGCUGACGACACGAACUAUAAAAUUUCACCAAUUUGUUCGUCGUUUCCAUUUUGGUUUGAAUGUGCAUGCUGUUAGGGCGACCCUUUUUCUUUCUUCGCAUUUUUUCAUUGUGCCAAACUAUGCCCCCCUUGAUAUGCAGGGCAAUAAUCCUCCUUUGCUAUAAAUAGAGAGCUAAUAUUGUAAACAUUGCAUAUGUUUAUGACUUUGUAAAUGGUGAAUAAUAAGUUGGAAGGGUCCUACCAAGCCUUUGAACAUGCCGCUAUGACAUGGUGUAACACCUCAAAAUUUGCCCUCAUCUUCUUGGGACUAGCUUAGCAUAUUGCAUUUCAUUUUUUAGGACAUUAGGUAUUUGCAUGUUGCAUAUCAUGUGAGAACAAGCAAGUCAUCCUCCUAAGUCUUUCUCAAAAGAUAGAGAUGUUAAGAGAUUCAUGCCUGAGGGUCUCAUGGAUUGAUCACUAGCCAUCUGACGGUUUGCGCUUCAAUUAGGGUUUCUUGGUCCUUCAAGGAGUUUGAGCAUUAUCUUAUUGGCAAGGGUACAUCAUCAUCAUCAUGGUUAUGUCAUCCUCAAGGGGCUCAUUGUUCAUGCUCAGAUUCUUUGGGAUUAGGAUUUUGACCUCUGGUCAACCCUAAUCAGUUGCAUUCUACCAGUCAGGGUUUCUCAAGGAGAUGGGGUUUAUUUCUUGGAUGGAGAUCAUAUGAUUAUUAUGUGGAGCUUACAAGAGCUAGGGGUUCAUUUUGGAGCCAAUUCCUCAAGUGGUUGAGGCUCAGGCUGAUCAGGGCACUUCUAGGUCAUCUGUCAACCAGAAAGUCAACAGAAAGUCAACUGAGGGCUAGGAGGUGGAGAAAUGAGUUUCAACAUCUCAUUCAUGUUCAAAAGAGGCUUAUUAUCUUCUAGGUCAUCUGUCAACCAGAAAGUCAACAGAAAGUCAACUGAGGGCUAGGAGGUGGAGAAAUGAGUUUCAACAUCUCAUUCAUGUUCAAAAGAGGCUUAUUAAUCAUGUCAAAUGUAUAUCUUAAAGAAUUUGAGGUCAGAUCAAAAGUUUACAAAAAUGGAAAGUGACCUGUAAUUGGAAGUUUCCAAAAAUGGAAAGUUUUUGGUUCAAAUUCAACUUGAUCAUACAUCAUCAAAGAAGCUUCAAUUGAAUUUUUGUCCAACAUGAAAGUUGAAGAUCCCUCUCUCCCAUUUCCAAAAAGUCAAAGAUCAUGAAUUUAUGAUGAAUGGUUGAGGAGAUAUGAUCCAAUUAUUGCCAAGUGUGCUUGAAACUUCAAAAGGGCAUAACUUUUGACUCAUAACUCCAAAUUGAGUGGUUCUUUUUGCAAAAUUCUUCUCAUGACAUGAACUUUCCAAAUCAUUCAUCACAUUGCAUGAAAAUUCACCACAUGAUCAUUUGCAUAUUCAUGCUUAUUUUGGAGGGAAAAUGCUAAAUUUGAAAUUGGUGCAUCAUGGGAACAAAUCACCAUUGCCAUUGUGUUCAUUGGAAGAUUUUAAGUGAGUUUGAUCAUUUCAUCAUGGGAACAAAUCACCAUUGCCAUUGUGUUCAUUGGAAGAUUUUAAGUGAGUUUGAUCAUUCAUUUGGUACUGUUCACGUCCAUUUACUCCAUGCACCAUGCAAUUUUCAUUUUUUGGCCAAACACCUUAUUUUUACUAAUUCCAAAUUAACUUUGAUUAAUUUUAAUUAGUAUGUGAUUAGGACUUCAUAUAUAUUGAUAAUCAUAACAGAAUUUCACUUCAGCUUCAUCAAUUGUAGAUCUAGAUCUCAAAAUUCUCUCUCCCUCUAAAAUUUUCUCCUAGUCACAAUUCAAAUUUCUUGAACAUAGCACCUUGUUUUUAUUAAAGAUUCAUGAUCAGUGAGUUGGAUAGAGUGUGAAUCCAGUGUUUGUUUGAAGAUUUGGAGCCAUAAUCAAGCAGUUGAAGCUCAAGAACAUUGCCAUGGAAGUUGAUUGUUGAGCUAGAUCUACACGGUUUCAAGCUUCAAUUCCUUCACCAAACUUCAUUACAAGUAUUCUGGAGUAGAUCUGUAGCUUGCCAAGCCUUGGAUCGUGCGCUUUCAAGAACUGCUCUUCAAGAGGUUUAGUUUUCGAAUCUCUUAAUUCCUCAAUUCAUUAACAUGUUUAUGUAGAUCUUUCCAUGCCGAGUUUGCUGAUGCUUGUAGAAUUGAAAAUGAUGAACUAUUGAGAGAGAGAGAUGCUUGAUUGAAGUUUUGAAUGCUAAACUUUUUUUGCUUCGAUUUGUAUGAUUGGUGAUGAAUUAACAUGAAUUAAUGCUUGAUCUAUAACCUACAUGUCAUGAGGAUUCGAAUAGUGUAUUAAUUUUGAAAUUCUGCAAAAAUUUUCUGGGCAUGUACUGUUCCUCCACCGUCUUCAUGAAGAAGACAGUGGUUUCCGCCCAUAGCGUCCAUAUAGCGUCCGCCUAGCGUCCGAGCGCACCACCGUCUGGUUUUGCUUACGUGCCUAGGGCUUUUGUCCCAUUCACAUGCCACGCGAGCGCUUCGUUGGCCUUUCCGUUGGCCAACAUCCUUUUGACUUGCACGCGUAAGCCUUUGACCGCCACAUGCCAUGCCACCUCAGAAAUGAUGAUGUGCGUUUUGAGCGCACACACUCACUUCGAUUCCUGGCGCCACCGCUUUUUCAAAUUAACCUUCAUUAUGCCAUUUCCCUCCAUAUUUCAUGUAUAUGCUUCAUUUUGAUUUCAAAUUUUUUGUCAACUUUGAAAAUCCAUAUUAAAUUGAAAAUUGCUCCAAAUAAUCCUUGGUUUUUUGCUACUUGUUCAUUGAGAUGUCCUCUAUUUUAUGAUGUUAAAUUCUGAAGUUGUGCAUGGCUGGAAUUUUGUUUGCUCUAGGUUGAUUGAACAUAUGUGUUUUUGUGACAUUGCCUUACUCUUUCCAUUGUGAAAUGCUUGAUAUUGAUCCAAAUGCAAUGAAAUUUUGCAUGAUGAUUCUUAACAUGUUGAUGGAUGUUUGAGGCUUGAUUGUGCAUUUUUCUCAUUUACCAUUUCUGUUUUAUACAUAUGUUUGCAUGGUGUGAUAAUUUGUGUCACACAAUUGGAUGAUCAACUUGUGCAAUUUCAUUUCCAUAUCAAAUGACCUCUGUUGAUUUUGAUUUUUUGUAUGAUGAUUGUAUUGGAUUUGUUGAAUGCUCAUGAAAUUUUCCAGAAUUGUUUGAAUCAUUUCUGUUUUGAUUUGGAAUUUUCAUUCUCCAUGUCCAUUUGAAUGCCUUGAAAUUGUCUUUGAUUUCUCUUGCUCAUUACAUGCCUUUGCUUGAUGAUUUUGAUUUGGUCCUUUUUAGGACAUGUUAAUAUGUGUUUGAAGUUAAAUUGUGUUAAAUUUUAGCUUCUGUUUUGAAUUUUUUCUUCACCUUUGACCCUAGGCUUUGACCUAGUGGUUUGGACUUACAUGUGAGCUUUGAAUUUCAGGACCAAUCACCUAAUCUCCAUGGUUGAUGUUGCUUCAUCAUUUGAAUGUUGAUAUUUUCUAUUGAUUGCUAACAUUUGGUUGUUUUGUAGGUUGAUGAUAAUUCACUUGAGUUUGCCUUAGGGCUUAUAUGUUGUACAUUGGGAUUGUUUGAUUGUUUUUGACUGUUGUCUGUUUGUCUGAAUACUGUACUAAUUUGUUUAGCUGUUUACACAGGUACCCAAGUUGCUUUAAGUUCAUUUGAACUUUGCUUUGCUUGUGGUGGGCAUACCACUUAGGUAUAAUCCUUGAUCUCCAUGUAGUCUGGAAGACCUGCUGUUAUUGGCAGGCACCUGUCUGAAGCCCUCCUUAAGAGGCAAUGUUUGUGGUUGUUUAUCUUUGUGCCUUGUACAUAUAAAGACCUCCUAACUGAAGAGGCAUUGGCAGAUAAAAGGGAUGUGCAAUCCAUCCCCUGCUAUUCAGUUGUGUCUUUCAUCUUGCUCACACCAUGUGUUGAUGCACUUUGAAUAAAAACCCGAAAUCUUGUUGUGUCAGUCAUGUGGAAUAGAGUCCCACAUUCUGGACUCCCACACCUCCAUUGAUUCAAAGCUCUCCCAGGCCAGGGAUAAGAGCUAUGAGGUUUGAUCCUCAUUUCCCAUGUCAUCUGCUUCACCCUAACUCUCAAUGUUAGGGUUAAGAGCAAACAACACCCCUUUCCAGUUGGCUUGUAUGUCGAGGUUGAUUUGACCCCUUGACUAAAGCCCAACCAUGUUGUGUGAGCCUUCUUGUUUGCAUAUAGUGUGUGAUACCUGUUCACUCGUUUGCUUACUUGCUGUGUUGUUGACUUGCUGCCUGUGCGAGUUAGGAUCUGUUAGAAACCUCAACCUAGGACUAUUGUGGAUUACAUGACAACUAUUAGGCUCGAGUCAGUCUCCCUUUUAGUUUGUUAUUUCCCGGUCUCUGGUUAGGAGAAAGUUUCUCCCCUGUUAAGGGGAACUACGUCGCCCUGAUCCUUAUACCAGAUGAGGUACGUAGGCAGGAGAUCGUGCGAGAUCUCUCCGGGCACCCUUUUUCUUUUUUGGUGUGUGUUUGUUUGUUUGGAGUCUGAUGUAAGCCCAACGAUUGGCAUUCAGUUUCCUUGUUUGUUUGUUGUGUGCUUGGAGUCUGACGUAAGUCCAGCGAUUGGCAGUCGGUUUCCUGUGAGUUGUGUGUGUGGAGUCUGAUGUAAGCCCAGCGAUUGGCAUUCGGUUUCCUUGUUUGUUUGUUGUGUGCUUGGAGUCUGACGUAAGUCCAGCGAUUGGCAGUCGGUUUCCUGUGAGUUGUGUGUGUGGAGUCUGAUGUAAGUCCAGCGAUUGGCAUUCGGUUUCCUUGUUUGUGUUUGUUGUUUGGAGUCGGACAUAAGGCCAGCCAUUGGCAGUCUGUUUCCAGUUGUGUGUUUGCACUGACGUCUCAGCAUCUUUGUGUGUGUUUUGUUUCGGCGUGCGUUAGCCGAACUACUGUAGCUCUGAUUCUCAUUCCAGAUGAGAUACAUAGGCAUAGGAUGCGAUAUCCUAGCAAGCCCUUUUCCCGUUUCCCCGAACUACGUCGACUCUGAUGUUUGUUUCUGACAAACUACGUAGGCCCAGGAUGCGAUAUCCUGCCGAGUCCGCUUCCUCCGUCUUCCACCUGUUUGUUCCAGCGUGUGUGCAUUCUUUGAGCAGUUUGAGCAACCUUAUUCUAUUCUUUUGAGCGUGGAUCCCGUCGAGUACGACGGACGUGAGGGGUGCUAAUACCCCCCCUUGCGUAACCGACUCCCGAUCCUUGUAACCUCCGGUCGUAAGACCAUUUCCUUUCCAGGUUUACUUCGAGCGUUUCCUUUCCCUCUUUUGGGAUAAAUAAUGCACGGUGGCGGCUCUGUUUGUUCGUUUUUCCCGCCGGUUGUUUUUCGCAGAUGCGACAGCUGGCGACUCUGCUAGGGAUAUAGAAGUUGACCUUUUGCUGGUCCAUCUUCCCUAAGCAAGUCAUUCCUAGCGCUCUCUAGGAUAGUUUAGGUUGUUUAUGCUGCUCUAUUUAUUGCAUUUAUGAUUAUUAUACUGUGAUUGUAUAUAUUUGCAUAAGUGUUUGCAUGCAUCAUACUAUCAUCGUGCUGACUCUGUACCGGUUGAUUCCUCUGAUUUGGGGGUGGGUGUUCUGAGUGGGGCCCAAUACCCAGGCCCGAGUAUACACCUAGGAUUAGCGUGGUCUUAUGUCUCUUCACAUGUUGUACGACAUGAUGCGGAAAUGUGACAUACCACAGCCGAACGAGGUUCAUCUGAGAGAGUCCUUCCGGGUGGAGUUAUUCCACUUAGGUUGGGUUAUCUCAUCUGAGCUAUUGACUUCGGUGACCGUUCUUUCCCGGAUCUUUGGUUUAGACGAUCUUAUGAGAGCUUGAGCUAUUGACUUCGGUGACCGUUCUUUCCCGGAUCUUUGGUUUAGACGAUCUUAUGAGAGCUGCAACGGCACACCCGAAAGGGCAAACCCGUUGAGUAUCUUGCCCGAUUGUCGAGACCAUUAUCCGCCUUAGGAUGAUCUGAUUAGAAUUCACCUGUGAGGGGAGGGUUUGAUUCCUACAGAUGCAUGUUCUGAUGGUGACUUUGAUGGUGACUGAUGGUUCAGUUCUUGAUCGAGGUCCUAUUUAUAAGUCGGAUUUAUGGAUUUAUUUCUGAGACGCCGGAGUUCUGUCCGUGGUAUUUAUCAGUGGGGAUCCGUUUAUUUCAGGAUUCCCUGGGUUGGAACAGAUGAUUAUAUUAUUAUCAGACCAGUGGUUUCCCAGUGAUGAUGGUGGUAUAUCCUUUAGUUCCGUUUAUUUCGGAACUCCCAGGUUGGAUUUAUGGUCAUUUAUUCCCUCAGAUGGUUGAGAUCAGUUCAGAGAUCAAGGCUUCAGUGCAGUGGAUGUUCAGAUGACUCGGAGGAUGGAACAGUACCUUGCAUUCAUGCAUUAGCAUCAUUCCCAUUUUGCAUUCAUCUGCAUCUAACUCAUGUUUAGCCAUAUGCAGGGUACAUUCUCGAUUGAGAAUCUGGUUGAGAGACAUCCUGAUGUCAGAAUGUGGCUGCCAAUUAUUAUCUAUCUCGAUGAAACCAGGAUCGAAAGACAUAUUGUUCCUCAUGUGGAUAGACAUUGCAUUCAUGCAUGAAUCAUAAUAACUUGUCUUCUAUUUUGCAGGUGUCGGUUUCUAACGUGCUUGAUUGUUUCAGGAAUCAUUGCUCGCGCACGUAGAAUCAUUUGAAUCAUAAUAACUUGUCUUCUAUUUUGCAGGUGUCGGUUUCUAACGUGCUUGAUUGUUUCAGGAAUCAUUGCUCGCGCACGUAGAAUCAUUCCUUUGCACACAGCACGUCCGCACAGAUAUCCUACCAGACGCAACACAUCCAGGCUGAUGGAUCUACCCAACGCAGAUAUUCUCGAGCUGAAGGAGAAAAUGAGCGAACUGAUCAAUGUCAUGCAAGGGUUUGCCGUGGGGUAAAAAGCACUCGCUGAUAAAGUAGAGAAGCUCGAGUGGGCUUCAGCUGUCAACAGUGGUGUCAAUGUAGAGGGUGUCUCCAACCAUGGCCUUGGUGAUUCCAGGGAUGGAGGAGAUCUCAGAAAGAAGGCAACUGCUGGUGUAGUGAUUAACAACGGUGGGGGUUUUGGUGCUGCCACAGGCGGUGGACCCGGUCCGAUGGGUAACAAUUUGAAGGAUAGCCUGUUUCCUCCUUUCUUCGGGGCUGAGGAGGAUAGAGAAGAGGACCAGUUCUCGGUGCUUAAUGAACAGUUUGGGCAGUAUGGUGUCCAACCACCAAAUAAGGAAAUUCAGGUGCUGGUAGAGAAAAUCAGGGCUCUUGAAAGCUAUGCUACUCUGGGGGUUGUCAAUAUGUCGAACAUGGGGCUGGUUGAGGGGAUUGUGAUCCCACAAAAGUUUAAAGUGCUUGCGUUUGACAAAUACAAUGGGAGUUCUUGCCCGGAAACUCAUCUCCAGGCCUUCGUCCGAAAGAUUUCUGCUUAUACAAUGGACCAGAAGCUUUGGAUGUACUUCUUCCAGGACAGUUUGUCUGGAGGAUCCCUGGAAUGGUACACCAAGUUGAAGUCUUCUGACGUCAAGAGCUGGAAGGAUCUUGGUGAUGCAUUCUUUAAACAAUACCAGUUUAAUGCUGACAUGGCUCCUAGUCGUACCCAACUACAGGGUAUGUCUCAGAAGCCUAAUGAGGGGUUUAAAGAAUAUGCACAGAGGUGGAGGGAGUUGGCUGCCCGAGUCCAAGCUCCGUUGGUAGACCAAGAAAUGUCUGAUCUGUUCAUGGGUACCCUUCAGGGGACAUUUGCAGAAAGGAUGGUGGGAUGCCCGGUUACCAACUUCGCUGAUAUAAUGGUGGCCAGUGAAAGAAUUGAGAGUUGGUUGAAACUGGGGAAGAUCCAGGGUAGUGUUUCGUCGUCUGGAUCGAAGAAGCCCUUCAGUAAUGGCCAGAGAAAGAAGGAGGGUGACACUAGCGCUGUGUAUGCCCAGAGGGGACAUAGUAGUGAUCGUUACUACCAGCACACUGCUGCGGUAACCAUUCCUGCUGAUAAUCAACAACAAACACAACAACAACCGCAACAACAACGACAUCCAUUUCAACAGAGACCGCAGAGGGCCGGGUAUCAGGUGCGAGGGCGAAUGACUGAUCGUCAAUUUGAUAGGCCACCUGUGACCUACUCGUUCUUGUUGAAAAAGUUGAAAGACUUGGGGUUGGUCCAGCUGAGAACUUUGGCUCCUGUGAGACCCGAUCAGAGGCCUCUCAGCUAUGACGAGAACUCCAAGUGCGAAUUCCACUCUGGUACCCCUGGACACAACGUGGAAAAUUGUAAAGCUUUUAAGCAUGUGGUCCAGGACUUGGUGGAUUCUAAGGCGAUCAACUUUGCUCCAUCUCCAAAUGUGAAUGCUAAUCCCAUGCCCGCGCAUGGUCAAAUGGGGGUGAAUGCAAUUUCUGAGGGUGGAAGAACGAUUGGCUGAUGAAUGUGGACCAGUUGAAGACUCCUUUGGCUGAGGUCAAGAGGCUACUGUUGAACAAUGGGGUCUUCCCGGGUUGCGAUGACUGUUGUGCUGCGUGCACCGUUGUUCCUAAUGGGUGUGUAUUGCUGAGGGAGGCUGUCCAAAGGAUGAUGGAUGAGGGAAGCCUCAGAUUCGAGAAGGUGGAUUUGGGGAAAGAAGACGUCUCCACCAUAACCAUUUACUUCGACCCGGUUGAUUUGUCAACGUUGGCAGAUGCGGCUCCAGUUACUAUCACGGUACCUGGGCCAAUUCCUUAUGACAAUGAUGACGCCGUGCCAUGGCAUUAUGGUGGAGAAGUAUACUGUAAUGGGGAGAAAUUGGAAGAUCGGGCUGCAGGUGAAACCACCGUUUCAAAGGUGGAUAAUGUCGGACCCAGUGGUUUCACUCGCAGUGGAAGGUUGUUUGCACCUGACGCUUUGAGGAGCGGGGAUGGAGAAAAAGAAAAGAAAGAUAAGGCCGAGGCUUUAGCCAGGGCAAGAGGGAAUCAGGUGGUAAAUGAGGAUACUCCUGUGGUGACACCAGCGCCUGGUGGGUCGGAGAGAGAACUUGAUGAUGAAGCUGAAGAAUUUCUAAGGAUCAUCAAGAAGUCAGAGUAUAAGCUUGUUUACCACUUGCAGUAGACCCCAUCCAAGAUCUCAAUUUUGUCAUUGUUGCUGAGCUCCGAGGGGCAUAUAGAGGCUUUAUUGAAAAUCCUGAAGAGAGCCUAUGUUCCCCAGGAGAUCACAAUCAAUCAGUUGGAGACGGUGGUGUCAAACGUCAAUGCCAGCCAUGGGCUGGGUUUCACUGAUAUGGACCUAACUGUAGAUGGGCGAAAUCAUAAUAGGGCAUUACACAUUGCGAUGGAGUGUAAAGGAGCCGUGCUCUCGCACGUGUUGGUUGAUACCGGCUCAUCACUAAAUGUGUUUCCAAAUAAAGCCCUGGCAAAGCUGGAUUGUGAUGGGUUAGUGCUGAGGCCCACAGACCUGGUUGUGAGAGCCUUUGAUGGUUCUAAGCGGACAGUGUUUGGGGAAGUGGAGCUCCCUGUGAAGAUCGGGCCCGAGGUGUUUAAGUCCGUAUUCUAUGUCAUGGAUAUUCAGCCGACAUACAGUUGCUUGUUGGGUAGACCAUGGAUCCAUGCUGCUGGGGAAGUGACUUCGACUUUGCACCAGAAGCUGAAAUACAUCUGGGACGGGCAGGUCGUCACAGUUUGUGGGGAAGAGGACAUCUUCGUCAUCCACCUAUCAUCGUUCAAAUAUGUUGAAAUGGACGGUGAAAUUGUUGAAACACCAAGUCAAGCAUUUGAAACCGUCAAGGUGGAGAAUGCUACCUUUGCUAAAGAGGAGAAGCCGUCCAUUUCUUCGUACAAGCAGGCUGCCGAGGUGGUGAAGAAUGGAGAAGCUCCAGGUUGGGGGAAGAUGAUGGACAUCGCCGCCAAGAAAGACAGGUUUGGGGUUGGUUAUCAGCCGGGCCGAGGCUCGUCUGGACAGAAGGGACGUCGUCAACCAUUCACGUUCACCAGUGCUGGAAUGCUGGAUCCAGACCACAUCUGUAUGGUGGGUGAAGAGGUCGACAAUGACUGUGAGCUCGAUCAAUGGAUAAAAACGUGCGUACCAGGGAUGGAGAUCCAAAACUGGAAGGCUGAAAAGAUCAUCACCGUCACUCUACGUGAAGAGUAAUAUUUCCUGUUUUUCAAUUCUGUUUGCAUGAAAGCCAUACGUUUUGCCCGAAACGUAAUGGUCCAUUGUAAGGGCCACCUCAUGUGUUUCAUUUUGCAAUAUUUGCAUCAUAAAUAAAAGGAUGUUUUUCAAUUAAAAGCGGUGUUCCCUGUUUUUCAUUUAUUUUUGCAGUUUAAAAACAAAAAUAAAGAUGGCAAUGUUUCAUUUUCUUUUUUGCAAUUUGUCUCGCUCCGGUUCUAAAGCAAUGCAUGAAUCAACAUUCAUGCAGAUGCGGUCAUUCUCCGGAUCUCAUUGAUAACAAUCCUGUUACAACCUCAUAUGACUUCAACAAUCCGGUCUAUCAUGCCGAAGAAGAAAGCGAAGAAGAUUGUGAACUGCCGGAGGAAUUAGCCAGGUUGUUGAAACAAGAGGAGAAGGUGAUUCAACCGCACGAGGAGCAAGUUGAGGUUGUGAAUCUGGGUACCGACGAGGUCAGGAAGGAGGUGAAAGUCGGGGUUGCUUUGGAGGCAAAUGUUAAGAGCAGAAUGGUAGCAUUGUUGAAAGAGUAUGUUGAUAUCUUCGCCUGGUCUUAUCAAGAUAUGCCAGGGUUGGAUACUGAUAUUGUUGUGCACAAGCUACCGUUGAGAGCAGAUUGUCCUCCAGUGAAGCAGAAGUUACGCAGAACUCGACCUGAGAUGGCCAUGAAAAUCAAAGAAGAGGUGCAGAAGCAGUUGGAUGCUGGGUUCCUCGCUGUUACUAAUUAUCCGCCUUGGGUCGCCAAUAUUGUGCCGGUCCCGAAGAAGGAUGGGAAGGUGAGAAUGUGUGUGGACUACCGGGAUUUGAACCGAGCUAGCCCGAAGGAUGAUUUCCCAUUACCUCACAUCGAUGUGUUGGUAGAUAAUACAUCUCAAUUCUCGGUGUUUUCCUUCAUGGAUGGCUUCUCUGGCUAUAAUCAAAUUAAAAUCUCGCCAGAUGAUAUGGAGAAAACAACGUUCAUCACACCGUGGGGCACUUUUUGCUAUAAGGUGAUGCCAUUCGGUCUCAAGAACGCCGGUGCUACUUAUCAGAGCCGGUACCACUGAAACAAAGUACAUAUGAUUCAUCAUGAAAUCGAAUGCUAUGUUGAUGACAUGAUAGCAAAGUCCCAAACAGAAGAGGGGCAUCUGGUAGAUCUGGCCAAGCUGUUUGACCGAUUGGGACAAUUCAGACUGAGGUUGAAUCCGAAUAAGUGCACUUUCGGGGUGCGGUCCGGUAAGUUGCUGGGGUUUAUUGUGAGCGAAAGAGGAAUCGAGGUUGAUCCUGCUAAAGUAAAAGCAAUACAAGAAAUGCCUGAACCGAGAACCAAAAAAGAGGUUCUUGGUUUCUUAGGUAGAUUGAACUACAUUUCACGGUUCAUUUCUCACCUAACAGCCACGUGCGAACUUAUAUUCAAGUUAUUGAGAAAAGAUCAAACGGUCAGGUGGAAUAAUGAUUGCCAAGCGACAUUUGAAAAGAUUAAAGAGUAUUUGCAGGAGCCUCCGAUUCUGAUGCCUCCUGUGGAGGGACGACCGUUAAUUAUGUACUUGAUGGUCCUUGAGGGGUCUAUGGGGUGUGUACUGGGGCAGCAUGGCGAGUCUGGUCGAAAAGAGCAUGCCAUAUACUACCUUAGCAAAAAGUUUACCGACUGUGAAACAAGAUAUUCACUGCUCGAGAAAACUUGUUGUGCUUUGGCCUGGGCUGCUCGCCGACUAAGAUAGUAUAUGCUGGUUCAUACCACUUUGUUGAUUUCCAAGAUGGAUCCAAUCAAGUACAUCUUUGAGAAGCCAGCAUUGACCGGACGGGUUGCGAGAUGGCAAAUGAUUUUGACUGAAUAUGAUAUUCAGUAUACCUCUCAGAAAGCAAUCAAGGGGAGUGUAUUGUCUGAUUACCUCGCCAAGCAACCCAUUGAGGAUUAUCAACCAAUGAAGUUUGAAUUCCCUGAUGAGGACAUCAUGUUUCUCAAAUUGAAAGAUUGUGAGGAACCGAUCCCGGAGGAGGGGCCUGACCCUGAAUCCGAAUGGAUUUUGAUGUUUGAUGGGGCCGUUAACGUGAAUGGUUGUGGUGUUGGUGUUGUUUUGGUUACGCCGAAAGGAUCCCAUAUUCCUUUUGCUGCCCGACUAACAUUUGAGUGCACCAACAAUGUGGCUGAAUACGAAGCUUGUAUACUGGGGAUUGAAGAGGCGAUUGGUUUGAGAAUCAAGAACCUUGUUAUAUAUGGAGAUUCAGCUUUGGUUGUGAACCAAGUUAACGGAAAAUGGUAUACGCAUCAAUCUCACCUAAUUCCAUACCGGGAUUAUACGAGGAGAUUGUUGACGUUUUUCACCAAGGUGGUAUUACAUCAUGUGCCUAGAGAAGAGAAUCCUUUGGCAGAUGCUUUGGCUACUCUGGCUGCCUUGAUUAAGGUGCAGUGGUGGAAUCAGUUCCCCAGUGUUGAGGUGGGACGUCUGGAUAGACCGACUUUAGAAGAGAAUCCUUUGGCAGAUGCUUUGGCUACUCUGGCUGCCUUGAUUAAGGUGCAGUGGUGGAAUCAGUUCCCCAGUGUUGAGGUGGGACGUCUGGAUAGACCGACUUAUGUGUUUGCUGUUGAGGCAGCGCUUGAUGAUGAGAAGCCGUGGUAUUACGAUAUCAAGCGCUAUCUGGAAACCCAAGAAUAUCCUGAAGGAGCAUCCAAGAAGGACCGAAAGACUCUGAGGAGGUUGGCCAUGGUGUUCUAUCUGAAUAAGGAUGGGGUUUUGUACAAGCGGAAUUUCGAUUGGGUCUUGCUCAGAUGUGUUGAUGACAGAGAAGCAAGCCAAUUGAUGAAAGAAGUACACGAGGGGUCGUUCGGUACCCAUGCUAGUGGGAAUGCAAUGGUGAAAAAGUUGUUACGGGCUGGUUAUUACUGGAUGAAAAUGGAGGCCCAGUGUUUCAACUUCGUGCGGAAAUGUCAUAAAUGCCAGAUUUAUGCUGAUAAGGUGCACGUGCCUCCGAACCCGUUGAGCUUAAUGUCGUCUCCGUGGUCGUUUGCUAUGUGGGGCAUCAAUAUGAUCGGGAAGAUUGAGCCUACGGCUUCGAAUGGGCAUCGGUUCAUAUUAGUGGCUAUUGAUUACUUCACCAAGUGGGUGGAAGCAACCUCUUAUGCAAACGUGACGAAGCAGGUCGUUGCCAGAUUCCUGAAGAGAGACAUCAUUUGCAGAUAUGGGGUUCCCGUCACCAAGUGGGUGGAAGCAACCUCUUAUGCAAACGUGACGAAGCAGGUCGUUGCCAGAUUCCUGAAGAGAGACAUCAUUUGCAGAUAUGGGGUUCCCGAAAGAAUCAUUACUGAUAAUGGUUCUAAUCUCAACAAUAAGAUGAUGACAGAAUUGUGUCGGGAGUUCAAGAUCGAGCAUCACAAUUCUUCUCCGUAUCGUCUGAAGAUGAAUGGGGCGGUCGAGGCAGCUAAUAAGAAUAUUAAGAAGAUUGUGCAGAAAAUGGUCGUGACUGUAGCGGUGUAUUCGUCACUUUAUGAUUUAUUGAUUAAAUCAAAAGCAAAGCAUACAAAGAUAUAGAGUCGCCACCGCACUUUUAUUUAUCCAAAGGAAUGGCUAAAAAGCGAACAAAAGCUUAAGAAGUUUUACACAUAGAAAACUAAUGAAAAGGUCAGAGAUAUGGGUAAGGGGGUAAUUAUGCAAAGGGAAGGUGUUAGGCACCCAAAACGUCCUAGGUACUCCUAGGGAACCUCUUUUCACAACUUGUUGUACGAAAUGUUAUUUGUUUAUGAAAUAUUUAUUGUGCAAACAUGAUUGAAGGGAUGAGAGAAAGAAUAUACAAAUUUUUAUUAUUUUUGUGUUUGAACGGAUGAACCCGUUGCCUACGUACCUUUCCAUGGAAGGUAAGGAUCAAAGCGCCGUAGUUCGGCUAAAAGAUUUCCAAAAGUAAGUGAAUUGAUUUUAAGACAAAAGCCCUAAGGUCUUUCGUUAUCCACGGGAGAAAACCCAACCUAUACCAACAACAAGUCCACCAUGUGAGAAAAGCUUCAACUUGCUAGUGAGGGGUUAACCCUAUAAUAAGCAAGGAAGUCUUACAAUUCAAUCACUAAGGAAAAAAGGUGAGAUUAACAUCAACCAACUAGGAUCCAUGUGAGAAAAGCUUCAACUUGCUAGUGAGGGGUUAACCCUAUAAUAAGCAAGGAAGUCUUACAAUUCAAUCACUAAGGAAAAAAGGUGAGAUUAACAUCAACCAACUAGGAUAAAUCAAACCUACGGCUAAUGUAUGAAAACUUAUCAAGAAAGUGGACUUGAGCCACAAAACAAUUGAAUGAGUGAAGUUAACCAAUUAUGAGUAUUUACAAAAUAUGGUCAAAGUAUGAUUAGAAUUCAAUUCAAAAGAAGUAUUGUGAAAAUGAAGUUUGAAAAUCAAAGGCUUAAGGCCUAGGUUUCUAGUUUGAAAACAAAUGAAGAUGUUUGCACAAUAUUUUUCAGAUUUUGAGUCAACAUACAAAUGGAGGUUUAAAGAAACAAAAAGGGUGAAGGUUAAGGGAUGCAAAACUUCUUAGAUGUUCACCUCUUGAGAUCAUAUGCAGAUGAUCCAAGUGAUUCCUUUGGAAAAAGCAACAAGUGAUAACUAAUAAACAAAGUAUCAGGCAAAGCCAACAAGGAUGGAUACCGGAUGCCAAUCAAUGGACUUACACCAAUCUCACAAAACAAAGAGAACAAAAGAUGGAUACCGGAUGCCAAUCAAUGGACUUACACCAAUCUCCAAGGAAUGAUCAUAGGAAAACAACUGCCAAUAAAUGGACUUACAAUUGACUCCUCACAUACAGCAAGCAAAACAAAUGCAAUAAGCAAGAGGAAACAAGUUGCCAAUAAAUGGUCUUACACUCGACUCCAAGGAAAUGGGAUGCCAAUCAAUGGUCUUAGUCCCAACUCCUACCAAAUCAUAGGAAAUAAUGGCCAAUAAAUGGACUUACAACUGACUCCUCAAUGGACAAACAAAGUGUCACAAAGAAUGAACAAUGAUCAUGAAAUGAUGUACAAUUAAUGCUCAAAGAUGAAAACAAUGCGCUGAGGCACACACAAACAAUUAUGCACAUAUGGGCAAACAAGCCAACAAUCAAUCAAUUAGCACACACUAUACACAAUCAAUUAGGCUCAAGCAAGGUUAGGCUUUACAGCCAAUUGGAAUGGGGUAUUUUGAGCUCUUAACCCUAACAUUGAGAGUUAGGGUGAAGCAGAUGAAAUGGGUGCCUCAUAGCUCUUAUCCCUGGCCUGGAGAGCUUUAAACAAUAGAAAGUGUGGAGUUCAGAAAGUAGGAACUCUUCUCCACAAAUGAUUGACUCUAUAAGAUCUUGGGUUAUUAUUCACAAUGCAUCAACACAUGGUGUGAGCAAGGUGAAUGACACACUGAAUAGCAGGAGAUGGAUUACACAUCUCUUUUAUCUGCCAAUUGCCUCAUAAGAGGACUUUACCUGCUUGGCACAAAAAUAAACACACAAAGACAUGGCCUCUUAAGGAGGGCUUCAGACAGGUGCCUACCAAUAACAGUAGGUCUUCCAGACUACAUGAAGAAGAGGGAUUAUACCUAAGUGGUUAAGCAACCAAGAAAAGCAAAGUUCAAAUGAACUUAAAGCAACUUAUGUACCUGAAAACAACUAAACCAAUCAGUUCAACUGUACAGACAAACAGACAACAAUUAAUAUCAAACAGUCAAUCCCAAUGUGCAAGGCAUAAACCAUAAGGCAAACUCAAGUGAGUUGUCCUCAACCUACAAAACAUCAAGUGUUAACAAUCAAAAGCAAAUUUCAAUGUUCAAGUAGUGAAGCAUCAUUAACCAUGGCAUUUGGAUGCUCAAACCUGAAAUCAAAGCUCACAUGUAAGCAACAAACCACUAGGUCAAAGCCUAGGGUCAAAGGUGAAGAAAAAAUUUAAAACAGGAGCUGAAAUUUAACACAAAGCAACUUCAAUCUCAUAUUAACAAGUCCUAAAAAGGCACACAUCAAAAUCAAUCAUCAAAUUCAUUUCAUGAUCAAGUGAAGUUCAAGACUAUUUCAAAGUUCAUAUGUGAUCAUCAUGAAUAAAAAAUUCAAAUCAAAACAGAAAUGAUCCAAAUAAAUCUGGAAAAAAUCAUGCAUAUUCAAGACAUCUAACAUGAUCAACAUACAAAAAAUCAGAAGAAUUGGAUAUCAUUUGGCAUAGAAAUCACAUGGCACAAGUUGGACAUCAAAAGGUGUGACACAAAUUGUCACACCAUAUUAGCACAAGCAUAAAACAACAAUGGAUGAUGAGAAAAAUAUCAAAUCAAAGCCAAAAUGUCAAUCAACAUGUUAAGAAACUACACACAAAAUUUCAAAGCCAUUGGAUUAUUUUUGAGCAUUUUAUGAUGGAAAGAUCAAAGCAAUAUCACACAUGCAUAUGUAUUCAAACAUCCUAGAACAAAUAUUUUUUCAGCCAAGCAUAACUUUCCAAUUUACACUCAUAAAAAACUAGACAAAAUGAGGAGCAAUAUGCAAAAAAUUGGAGAUCAAAUGAUGCAUUUUUCAAUUUAUAAUGAUUUUUUGAAGUUGAGAAAAUAUUUGAAAAUCAAAAUGGACAUGUCAUGGCAAAUAAGGAAGGUAUGAGAAAAUAUUUGAAAAGAAAUGCUGUGCGCCAGAAUCGAACACGGUCCAGAUUCAAAUGGAGCGCGCCAAGCCGAAACGGCACCGUUUUGCAAAAACCCUAGCCAGCACCUAUGCGUCGACGCAAGACCAACGAGAGGUCGACGCAAGACCACAGUCAGAACCUCGGGUCGGCGCAGAACCAACAAUAGGUCGACGCAAGACCACAGACUGAACCAAGAGUCGACGCUAGCCACUGCUACGGUCGACACACACAUGAGGAUCUUCAUCUUCUUCCUCUUGAAGAAGAUGAACAGUAGCACGAGCUUCAAUACGUUUCCAGAAAAUAAUUCCAGAAAUCAAAACUAAAUACAUCAACAUGUAGGACCUUCAAUGGAGAUCAUGAAUCAAUGCAUAGCUAAGCCUAAUUUCACUUAUCAAGAUCAAAUCAAACGAAGUAAGAUUCAUGCAUGAAACUUUAAUCUAUUAUAACUCAGUCAAUAGGUCACCAAAUCGCACGAUUCAAAGCUCAGAUUCAUCAGGACACAAAGAUCUACAACAACAUAGCAAUGGAUUUUAAAAUUAAGAGAUUCGAAUUGUGACCUCUUGAAGUGUACUCAGUCAAUAGGUCACCAAAUCGCACGAUUCAAAGCUCAGAUUCAUCAGGACACAAAGAUCUACAACAACAUAGCAAUGGAUUUUAAAAUUAAGAGAUUCGAAUUGUGACCUCUUGAAGUGCAGAAGCUGGAAUCGUGCUCCAUAAAGCUCAGCAAUGCCUCAAAGUUCCUCCAUAAUGCUUAUUGAAGUGAUUGAUGAUGAAUUUGAAGCUCAACUGCACAUGAAUCCAGCAGAUUUUGAAAUCACCAUGGAUGCUUCAAGCUUCGAGUAUGUUCAAAUAUGGCGCGAUUCCUUCCAAUUCCACGUUCAAAUCUUCUCAAAAAUGCUUCAGGAUCAUGAAUCAAUCAAUAGAAAUACCUCUUGUGUGAAGAAUUGCAAGAAAAAUUUGAGAGAAAAAUUUGGAGAAUUUUGAGAUUCAGAUCUGAAAAAUAGUUGUUAAUGGCAAAUGCAGUUAUGCUUAACCUUAUAUAUGCUAUGCUAAUCAUGUUUAGAACCUGUUUAAGCCAAAGCCAAUUGAAAUUAAUCAAGUUUUAAGGUGUAUGCACAAAUUGGAUUUUCACCCUCAUGCAUGAGGUAGCCACGUGAACAGUACACGAAUCUGGCCCAAAAUCACUUAAUUAAUGCCCAUGCAAGCUUUUGAAUUGGUUUUGUAUGCUCAUGAUCAACCAAAAUGAUUUUAUGGAAUUUUCUUCAAAAAUCUUCAUGAAUAAGCCAAAGACCAUGCAAAUGGAAUUCAUGUCAUGUAAUGGUACAUUUGGAAAGUGCAUGUUAUGAUGAACAAAAUGCAAAAAGAACCACUCAUUUUGGAGCUUUGGUUGAAAAGUUAUGCUCAUUUGAAGUCCCAUGCACACUUUGCAAUGGUUGGAUCAUAUCUCCUUAACCACACAUGAGAAAUUCAUGAUCUUGGACAUUUUGGAAAUGGGAGAGAAAGAUCUACAACUUUCAUGUUCAACAAAAUUUUAUUUGAAGCUUUUUUGAUGAUGUAAUCUUGAGUUGAAGUUGGUCCAAAACCCUUCCAUUUUUGGAAAGUUCCAAUUAUGGGUCACUUUCUAUUUUGGGAAAUUUUUGACUGGACCUCAAAUUCUUUAAGAUGAGUAUUUGAAAUGUCAAAUGAGGCUUGUUUGAACAUGAAUGAAGUAUUUCUAAUCACUUCCCACCUCCAAAUCUAUAGUUGACUUUGUAGUUGACUUUCUAGGUCUUCAGAUGAUCUGGAAAUGUUCUGAUGAAAUUCAAGCCUCUACCACUUGGGAUUUUGCUUCAAAAUGACCUCAUAGCUCAUAUGAACUCUUGAUAAUGAUUGUGGGGUCCAAAUCUCAAGAAUGACCACCAUCUAUUGCUCAGUGAAUGUCUUUCAUGGCUUUGACCUGUUAUUGCUUCAUCUGCAAGACAAAGGUUAUAUGCCAUAUUUUUGUACAUUUUGGUUAGUGAUUAAAGAAAAGCAAUGAUAUACAAAUGCAAACAUGCUUGGUGAUCAAGAAUCACUCUCAAAAAGAUAACCCACCCACAGGGGAGGAAGCAAGGUGUCCAAUGAUCCUUGAGGCAAUGCAAUGAUAUGAUAUGAUGCCAUGAGGGAUCUUAGGGACAAAAUUGGGGUCUUACAGUGACCUAUAAAGAUUGGCACGAGAUGUUGCCGUUUGCAUUGCAUGGGUAUCGAACCUCGGUGCGUACUUCUACUAGGGCAACGCCAUUCUCGCUUGUGUAUGGAAUGGAAGCCGUGCUACUGGUUGAGGUUCAGAUUCCUUCGUUGAGAGUCCUGAUGGACGUGAACUUGCAAGAGGCUGAAUGGGUAAGGACUCGGUAUGAAGAAUUGAGCCUGAUUAAGGAAAAGAGGCUGGCAGCCAUCUGUCAUGGGCAGUUAUACCAGCAGCGAAUGAAGCGUGCUUUUGACCGAAAGGUGCGACCUCGUGUAUAUCACGUAGGAGAUAUGGUGCUAAAAAGGAUCCUUCCUCCUCAGAACGAUCGUAGGGGCAAGUGGACACCCAAUUAUGAAGGUCCAUUCGUGGUCAAGAAGGUUUUCUCUGGCGGAGCCUUGUUGUUAACGACCAAGGAUGGCGAGGAUUUACCAUCCCCUGUGAAUGCGGACGCAGUUAAAAAAUACUUCGUAUAAGAGACCCGUUGGACGAAAAGAAUAAAAUAGUCCAGGCAAAAAUGGGCAUCCCGGCGAACCAAAAAAAAGGGAAUAAAAAGGUUCGGGUAAAAAUUAGGGAUAAAAGGAAAAAACUGUACACCCGGCAAGUUGAAAACCCCACAAGGGAGGCUUGGGCAAAAAAAGGGUAUCACGGUGGACUGAAAACCCGAAAGGGCGGUCCAGGCAAAAGAGGGAUUGAAACGAACAACUGCGUCUAGCAUGAUCGUUUGUACUUUGGUUAUGACACCAGGAUAAUCCCCGGCAGGGAUCAGUCGGAAUCGUCUUGUUCAGAAGGCAGGAAGCACGGAGAGUCUUGAGGACAUAUAGGGUGUAACCGAGUUGGAACUCGAUGAGAUCACGGUUUCACAUUGCCAUUAGGAUAGAUUUUUCCUUUUGUGCGCAAUUACCUCUUUUUAGGAAUUGCUUCCUUUGUAUCGCUCAUUUUCGAGCCACCUCUUUUCAAUCAAUAAAAAGCAUAUUCAGUCAGACAAUUUUGUUUUUUAUUUUCAUUAUCGCUUGAUUGCAAAAACAUCCGUUUAUUUUGAUAGGAAUCUUUGCAUUUUGAGACGUAGGGGUCCCUUCCAAUGCAUGUUCAUAAGAUUGAAAAUUUGAAAUCUUAUUCGGAAGGUGGAGUGACCCAGGUGUUGGAAUCUUGGCACGCCUGGGGCACGUUUUAUCUAACGAUUUCUUUUGCAGGUGCUGUUAGAUAUUUUCACUCACUUGCAGGUUGUGAUGUGAAGCCUGUUGACAAAAGAUCCCCGUGGAGUCCAAUCAGGGACAAGAGAUAGAAGAAUGGUGAAAAGACAGCGAGAGACGUGCGAUGAUCCUGGAUAUUAAUCAAGAAGACUCUUCAAAGUCUGAGGACUGGAAAGUUUGUAUGAAUCCAGGGAGUUCGAUCUCCGUGGAGUACGGAGAAGUCGAGAAUACAAGGUGAUGAAUCAGAAAGUCCAGACGAGUCUGGGAACUCUCAAAAGUGGAAAGCUGACAUUGGAUUUAGAUGUUGAAUACCGGGGUUCGACGAGUCGAUGGGCGUUCUGUGCCAUAUUGUCCUUAUUUCCCCAAGCAGGGUCGGGGUUGUUACCCCCCCAGCAGAUUCAAGGUAUGUGUCUUCCCUAGCAGAGUCGGGAUUAUAAUCCCCAGCAGUUUCGAGAUUGAUUUCCUCAGCAGCCAGGCCGGAAGGUUGGUAUUUCCCCUAGCAGGGUUGGAGAUGACUAUUUUCCCAGCGGAGAUGCCCGUUGCUAGCUUUUCCCCCCAGCAAGUGGAAGAUUGUUGUUUUCCCCGUAGAGUGUGUUGGUGGUUUCUUCCCCAGCGAAGUCCCCAGGCGGAUCAGGUGGUCUUUUUCCCAGCAGCAGUGCUAUUCCCCAGUGGGGUGGGGAUUGGAGUGUUGUCGGGUUCCUCAGCAGAGUGCCUCGAGCUCCCCAGAAGAGUCCCUUGAGGGGGAUACUUUUUAUGCAUUCAUCAUAUAGAUAAGCAUAUCAUAUUGCGUAUCUCAUUGCGUAGCAUUUCCAUGAUUAUGGAGCAUUACGCUUAAAAAUCAUCAUGCAUCAGCAUUGUAAGCAUAAGCUAGUCUCAAGUCGUGGUUACUGUUUGAGGAUUGGUUUCGCCAGAGGGUGAAGAUGUUACUCUGAGGAGUUUGGCAUCGUGAUUUUGAAUCAACAGUAUUCCCCAGUAGUGCGAUAUUGGAGGAAGGAUUUCUGUCGGGCGGAGAUGGAAAUGAUAAUCAAGAAGUUUCGGGGUCCAAAAAGAAAAGCAAAAAAGAGAAAGAAAUAAUCCCCAGUUGAGCGCAAAUGGUUCGUUUGCUAGGGUUGAAUAGAGGAUAACAUGCUCAUGGCUUGUUAUCCCCAGCAUGGGUCGUUGGCACGCGUGCCGCCUCACUUAUCACUGUCCCUUAUUUCUGCUGAUGUUGACAUGUAUGACCAGUUUUUCGGGUAUUCAGACCGAUGUGGCGUUCAGGCCAGUUUUUCGGGUAUUCAAACCGAUGUGGCGUUCAGGCCAGUUUUUGGGGUAUUCAGACCGAUGUGGCGUUCAGGCCAGUUUUUUCGGUGUUCAGGCCGAGGUGGGUAUUCAGACCAGAUUUUCCGAUGUUCAGAUCGAAGCAGUUUUCCGAUAUUCAGACCGUUGUGGCACUCAGGCCAGUUUCCAAUUUUCAGAUCGAAGAGGUUUCCGACGUUCAGGUCGACACAUUUGUGGCACUCAGGCCAGUUUCCGAUUUUCAGAUCGAAGAGGUUUCCGACGUUCAGGUCGACGCACUUGUGGAACUCAGGUCAGUUUCUGAUUUUCAGAUCGAAGAAGUUUCUGACGAUCAGGUCAACGCACUUGAGGCACUCAGGCCAAUCUCCCGGUAUCCAGACCGAAGUGGUAUCCAGACCGAAGUGGUAUCCAGACUGAAGUGGCAUUCAGGCUAGUUUUUCGGGCAUUCAGGCCAAUCUCUCGGUGAUCAGACCGACAUUAAUACUCUCAUAUUCCGAUGCUCAGUAUUCAGACUGACGAGCGGCGUUCAGCCCAUGGUGGUUCCUGUGUUACCAUUUAUUUUGGUAUCCAGGUCAAUGUUCCUUUUCGGUAUUCAGGCCGACUUUCUCCGUACCAGACAGAUUCUUCUUUUGAGGUCGUGCUUUGCCGCUUCUGGCAGGCCUUGUUAAUUAUUUUCCCAACGGAGUGCAAAUUGUUCGUCUGAUCUUGGUAUUCAAUCACUCUUCACCCUGAUCAUCUGAAAGCCGAGGCUAUUCAUAUCGACAGGUUCACAAUGGAUUGAAUAGGGGCAGCUGUAACACCUCAAAAUUUACCCUCCUCUUCUUGGGACUAGCUUAGCAUAUUGCAUUUCAUUUUUAGGACAUUAGGUAUUUGCAUGUUGCAUAUCAUGUGAGAACAAGCAAGUCAUCCUCCUAAGUCUUUCUUAGAAGAUAGAGAGGUUAAGAGAUUCAUGCCUGAGGGUCUCAUGGAUUGAUCACUAGCCAUCUGAGGGUUUGUGCUUCAAUUAGAGUUUCUUGGUCCUUCAAGGAGUUUGAGCAUUAUCUUAUUGGAAAGGGUACAUCAUCAUCAUCAUGGUUAUGUCAUCCUCAAGGGGCUCAUUGUUCAUGCUCAGAUUCUUUGGGAUUAGGGUUUUGACCUCUGGUCAACCCUGUCAUCCUCAAGGGGCUCAUUGUUCAUGCUCAGAUUCUUUGGGAUUAGGGUUUUGACCUCUGGUCAACCCUAAUCAGUUGCAUUCUACCAGUCAGGGUUUCUCAAGGAGAUGGGGUUUAUUUCUUGGAUGGAGAUCAUAUGAUUAUUAUGUGGAGCUUAAAAGAGCUAGGGGUUCAUUUUGGAGGCAAUUCCUCAAGUGGUUGAGGCUCAGGCUGAUCAGGGCACUUCUAGGUCAUCUGUCAACCAGAAAGUCAACAGAAAGUCAACUGAGGGCUAGGAGGUGGAGAAAUGAGUUUCAACAUCUCAUUCAUGUUCGAAAGAGGCUUAUUAAUCAUGUCAAAUGUAUAUCUUGAAGAAUUUGAGGUUAGAUCAAAAGUUUCCAAAAAUGGAAAGUGACCUGUAAUUGGAAGUUUCCAAAAAUGGAAAGUUUUUGGUUCAAAUUCAACUUGAUCAUACAUCAUCAAAGAAGAUUCAAUUGAAUUUUUGUCCAACAUGAAAGUUGAAGAUCCCUCUCUCCCAUUUCCAAAAAGUCCAAGAUCAUGAAUUUAUGAUGAAUGAUUGAGGAGAUAUGAUCCAAUCAUUGCCAAGUGUGUUUGAAACUUCAAAAGGGCAUAACUUUUGACUCAUAACUCCAAAUUGAGUGGUUCUUUUUGCAAAAUUCUUCUCAUGACAUGAACUUUCCAAAUCAUUCAUCACAUUGCAUGAAAAUUCAUCACAUGAUCAUUUGCAUAUUCAUGCUUAUUUUGGAGGGAAAAUGCUAAAUUUGAAAUUGGUGCAUCAUGGGAACAAAUCACCAUUGCCAUUGUGUUCAUUGGAAGAUUUUAAGUGAGUUUGAUCAUUUCAUCAUGGGAACAAAUCACCAUUGCCAUUGUGUUCAUUGGAAGAUUUUAAGUGAGUUUGAUCAUUCAUUUGGUACUGUUCACGUCCAUUUACUCCAUGCACCAUGCAAUUUUCAUUUUUUGGCCAAAAACCUUAUUUUUACUAAUUCCAAAUUAACUUUGAUUAAUUUUAAUUAGUAUGUGAUUAGGACUUCAUAUAUAUUGAUAAUCAUAAUAGAAUUUCACUUCAGCUUCAUCAAUUGUAGAUCUAGAUCUCAAAAUUCUCUCUCCCUCCAAAAUUUUCUCCUAGUCACAAUUCAAAUUUCUUGAACAUGGCACCUUGUUUUUAAUGAAGAUUCAUGAUCAGUGAGUUGGAUAGAGUGUAAAUCCAGUGUUUGUUUGAAGAUUUGGAGCCAUAGUCAAGCAGUUGAAGCUCAAGAACAUUGCCAUGGAAGUUGAUUGUUGAGCUAGAUCUACACGGUUUCAAGCUUCAAUUCCUUCACCAAACUUCAUUACAAGUAUUCUGGAGCAGAUCUGCAGCUUGCCAAGCCUUGGAUCAUGCGCUUUCAAGAACUGCUCUUCAAGAGGUUCAGUUUUCGAAUCUCUUAAUUCCUCAAUUCAUUAACAUGUUCAUGUAGAUCUUUCCAUGCUGAGUUUGUUGAUGCUUGUAGAAUUGAAAAUGAUGAACUAUUGAGAGAGAUAUGCUUGAUUGAAGUUUUGAAUGCUAAACUUUUUUUGCUUCGAUUUGUAUGAUUUGUGAUGAAUUAACAUGAAUUAAUGCUUGAUCUAUAACCUACAUGUCAUGAGGAUUCGAAUAGUGUAUUAAUUUUGAAAUUCUGCAAACAUUUUCUGGACAUGCACUGUUCCUCCAUCGUCUUCAUGAAAAAGACGGUGGUUUCCGCCCAUAGCGUCCACAUAGCGUCCACCUAGCAUCCGAGCGCACCACCGUCUGGUUUUGCUUACGUGCCUAGGGCUUUUGUCCCAUUCACAUGCCACGCGAGCGCUUCGCUGGCCUUUCCGUUGGCCAGCGUCCUUUUGACUUGCACGCGUGUCGCAUUACGCGAAAAACCGGCGGGAAAACAAGAAACAACAGAGCCGCCACCGUGCGUUAUUUAUCCCAAAAGAGGGAAAGGAAACGCUCAGAGUAAACCUGGAAAAAGCAUGG
This 58020-nucleotide long non-coding RNA is filed under the name Lathyrus oleraceus (garden pea). RNAcentral describes it as "Pisum sativum (pea) long non-coding RNA (PSAT_LNC019196)". The record is from RNAcentral. Lineage: Eukaryota; Viridiplantae; Streptophyta; Magnoliopsida; Fabales; Fabaceae.